RNAcentral lists this long non-coding RNA (45144 nucleotides) under Manihot esculenta (cassava). Its description in RNAcentral is "long non-coding RNA (MESC_LNC003829)". Lineage: Eukaryota; Viridiplantae; Streptophyta; Magnoliopsida; Malpighiales; Euphorbiaceae. The record is from RNAcentral.
UCAGGAAAAAAAAGGAAAAUAAUGUUAUUUGCAUUGAAUGAACAAAUGAUUAGCAUAGUAGCAAAACUACUUAAAAUAAGAGAAAUUAGAAACCAAAAAGCAGCACAGCAUGAGUCUGGGCAUUGCAUGUUGGAUGAUCGAAACAGAGGUCUUGAGUGCGAAUCUAGAUCCUGAAAUACGCAGGCCUGCAAAAAGUCAUUCGAAGAAGUGUGCAAAACUCCCAUCAUUCAGCUUUCUUUCUGCUUCCCGCUCAGCAGGAUUACUAUGUACUGAGACAGAUAGGAAACUUAUCCCGGUGAGUUUUUAUUCCGGGAUGUCAAGGGCACAAUGCGCAGCUUAGUGAAUCUCCAUCAUCUUUGCCACAGGUGUAAGUUAUGAAGAUAGUUGCUAGAUGGAGGAUUUUCACACUAGUGAUUAAGCAUCUGUUUCAAGCCAGAAUCAUCAUUAAAUCACAGAUUUGCUUUACAAGCAAUAACUAGAGGGAUUUCAUAUUACAAGUAGAGUCUUUAUAACCUACUGAAUCGCUUAUUUACGAAGACAGAAGAAUAGGAGAGCUCACGUUUUGUUUUUACUGCACAAAUACUGCAUAUGGAAUCUGAGUGAGAAGUUACUCCCUAAAAAUUUCAAAAGUGUUUUUGAGAGGUACCUUUGAGCGAAUCUUCUGGCAACAGACUCAAAGAAGUCAUCCAAUAAGUAGAAAUUCUUCUAUGGAAGGCCACACACAUUAAUAGCAGUUCUUUCAAGGCGAAUUAUGCCAAGCCAAUCAAGGAAUUGCUGCCAUGGCAUGUAGUUGUGGUUUCUUAAUGUGUUCGAGUAACUUCUGCACAAGGAAUCAAAUUAAUCUUUAAAUCCGUGAAAUUAAAAGGGAUGCAGAAUUACAAAACUAAUAAUAAGAACAAUAAUAAUAAGAUGGAUAGAAGCAUGACCUGCCAAUGCAUGAUUUCGGCAAGCCUUUGCUUUGGUUCACCACUUCCCAAUGUAGUAAGAAUUUCAACAGCAUCCCAGAAUUUCAAUAGCAUCCCAAUGAUAACUCAUACUUGAUGAGCCUUGAUGGAGAAAUGAAAGUCCAGUUAAAAUUAUUCAAAAUGCAUAUCCACUCGCCAAGAACAUAUGCACCCAGAAAUCUCCUUAAAUAAAUAAGGUUUUAACAAGGUGAAUGCUUUGCUUUUUCUUUUUUUGGGAAGAACUUCAAAGUAAACAAAGGUAAGACUAUUGGGUUUUGAUGUUUACCUUGUGUGGGAGAAAUGUGAUGUUUACCCAGAAAUCACAUUUUGUUUUCAGAAUAAAUGGUUUUUUCCACCUCUGCAUUUGACAUUGAAAAAACUUGAAUAAAUACCAAAUAAUUAAGAUAUGCUGCUGAUUUAAUUUACAAAGGAAUGGCGCAUGUGAAGAGAAAUUGACAUAUGACAAUCACCUUCAGCACAAUCAAUUCUCAUCCUAAUUUAGAAGACUAAUCAAACUAAUUGCAGCAAUAACAUCUUUUCCACGAAGUCUACUAACUUCUGCACAUAGAGUCAAAAUUAAUCCGUUAUAUCCAUGAAAAGAAUGAAGGCAGAAUUACAUUAAAAAAUGAAUAAAAAUGACGGUUAAAAGAAAGACCUGCCAAUGCAUUUAAAAUCUCUUUGAAUUUGUUUCCCACAUCCCAAUUUAUUAGAAUUUCAGGUGAGUAAAAAACAAAUAAAUGAUUCCUCUAGCUUGAUGAGCCUGUACAUGUGGGAAAAAAGUGUUAAAAUAUUAUCAUAAAGCAAAUAAAUUCUCAAUUAUACAAAAAAUAAAAGAAAGAAAAGGUACUCUGUAUAUUGAUCUUGAUUGUAAAGAAAUAAUGACAAAAGGUACUCUGUAUAUUGAUCUUGAUUGUAAAGAAAUAAUGACAAAAGGAUACUUACGAACUCAAAGGUAAUACACUGCUCAUUUUGGAAGAAACACAUCCAACACUUCAAAACUUAUCCUUCAUUGAUCUGUGUAAAUAGAAUCAUAGAGUGAAGAUUUUCUCAUGUAAGUUUAAUUUGCAAAUUGGAGAGAAAAAGGACCAACUUACCGAAGCUUCAUCAUCCAGUAGAUAGCGGCCCUCUCUUUGAAUUCUUUGGUCAUCAACUUCAAUAUUUGGGAUGUGAGAAAUGAAAGCCCAAUCCGCACCCUUUCUAUUUCCACAUCUUUCCUUCAAUUGGGGACGGUCAUUGAUAUUCAAUUCUCGUAACGAGGUGAGGGAACGCAUCUCUUGAGGCAGACACUUUAUUGCCGGACAAAUCUGAAUGGUUAGUCUUUGAAGACAAGUGAGAUUCCACAGUCCAUCUGGAGGUAGAGAUUCCAGCUCUUCAAUGUCCGUAAUCUGAAGGAUCUUCAAUUUAGAGAGAGGAGGAAUGAUUGAGGAAGAAGAAGAGAUUGAUGGUGUGAAUAUUUGGUGCACAAGUUGUGGGCUUGCGCAGUGCAAAUAUAGUGAAUGAUCGAGAGAUGGAAACUGAGGGAUGGAGUUCAAAUUAGGGCAGUCCCUACAAACGAAAUACGAAAGACAAGGAAAUUGGAGUAGCUCAAGAGCUGUCGAAUCAUCCUUCUUCUUCUGCAAUCCUUUAAGCUUAGGACAACCAUAUAGCACGAGAACCCUUAGGGAUGGAAAGAAUGAUGUUGCUUGUCCCUCAAUCUCAAUGUACUCUAAAUCAUCUACUUCACGAAUAUGUAGAUAUUGAAGAGAAGGGAUUUGAUCCAUUGGUGGGAGAUGCUGAUAUCUAUUGCAAUUCCGUAUACAGAGAUAGACAAGAUUCGUGAGGGAAGAGAACCAACUUGGGAACCUCCUGCCUCCAUUGCCAAGCACACGUAACUCUUUAAGAUUGGGAUGCGGUUGGAGAUUUUGGAAUGCCAUUUCAUCUCUAUCAACAUUUGAAUCUUCCCAACUCUCCUCGCAACGUAAUUCCAAUGAUUGAAGGACUGGUUUCUCUUUCAUAUUAACAUUUACAAUCUCAUUAUCCACACAACCCAGAUUUAUAAUUUCAAGACGUCCCCUCAAAUUCUUAAGCUUAUUCAGUUCAUUUAUUUUUUCAACAUCCUUUGAGGAAAUAUGCCCUUUUGCCACUACGAACAGCGACAACGUCUGAAGUGAAGUCAACUGCCCAAGCCCACGUGGCAUAUGAGUCAAAGAGUAACAACCUUCACAAUAUAAAUGCCUAAGAUUUACAAGCUUUUUAAUAUCUUUAGGCAAUUCUUUGAGCUGGACACAGUAAGAGACAUCUAAUACUUGUAAAUUCAGCAAAUCGGUAAUAGAAUGUGAAAGUGCUUUAAGUCCCUUGUUAUCGGAACGUCAAGAUAUCUUAUAUAUUUUAGCAUUUUUAAAGAAUUAUCCAUCGUUGUAUAUGAAUGCAUCAUAAAUACACGUAAAAAUUUUAAAUUUUUAUAAAUAAAUAGUUGAUCGCAAUCAUAUUUCUCAAGCAAAAGAAGCGAUCGUACUCUUUUUGCGUUAUUAAGAAUUUCUUUUGAUGCAACAUCCAAAUUCAAUGCUACAUGAUGGAUUUUCUCAUUAAUAUUUAGUAUAUCAGAAUUUACUAGCUGAAUCCUCUUCCCACCCACUGUGGUUGCGAGAUCGUGCAUUAAAUCAUGCAUUUUACAGCUCUCUACAUUUCCAUAUCUAUCUCUUUCCACUUCUUGAAAAAAUGACCUCCACCACAGUUUCAUAAAAUAUUCAAGCCUAAUAUCUUCAAGAUAAUCACUCGUACUUGGUGACUCAAUAAACCCUUGUGCAAUCCAAAGAUGGAUUAAUCUUUUCACAUCAAUCACAUAAUCUUUUGGAUAUAUUGCGCAAUAUGCAAAACAAUGCUUCAAAUGUGAUGGGAGAUGAUCAUAACUUAGCUUCAGUGUUGGCAUAAUAUCAUUACCAUCUUGACUUAUUCUUGAGAGUUCUUUUGUUAAAAAGGGCAGCCACUCAGUUUCUGGAUUUUUCGCAUACAAGAGACUUGCGAUGGUUUUUAUUGCAAGAGGAACUCUAUGACAUUUCUUCAAAAUCUCCUUUCCCAUCUCUCUUACAUUUGCAUGUUUUGGCUCCUGCCCCUCAAGUGCUACAUGCAAAAACAAAGACCAAGACUCAUCCGGAGACAACCCUUCCAAAACAUGUGGUGCCAUUGUGCUAGAUAUAUCUGCCACCUUUUUAGAGCGAGUGGUUAUUAAUAUCUUACUUCCACUAGAGCCACCCACUAAUAAUCUCUUUAAAUUCUCCCAUUUUUCUCUAUUCUCAUUCCACACAUCAUCUAGAACAAGCAGAUAUUUCUUCCCACUAAUAAUUUUUUCCAGUCUAGACUUCAAUGCUUCUAACCCAAGAUCUUCCGGUCUAUUCCCUGUUGCAGACUCUAGAAUCUUUCCAACAGUCAUUUUCACAUCAAAAGGUUCUGAAACACACACCCAUAUUCUUGGCUCAAAUGAAUUCUUAAUCAAUUCAUCAUUGAAUAUGAUUUGAGCAAGAGUGGUCUUCCCUAAUCCUCCAAUUCCAACAAUUGAGAGGACUGAAACACACUCUUCACCAUUGGAAGACAAUACAAGUUCUGUAAUUGCCUUUUUGUCACCCUCUCUCCCAAUAACCACUUCAGGUAAAGAGGACGUAGUUUGAUCCCUCCAUACAAUACUCUCCUGAUCCGUACGAAACUCUAAAUUAAAUUUUCUGUCAGCUUCAAUAUCAGCUAGCCUCUCCCUAAUCUCCUUAACUUUAUGACCCAUUUUAAAACCAUAAACAAGUUGAUUUGAAGACGAAAAGAAGAGACUUACCUCCUUUGUCAUUCUAUUUCCAGUCAUCACUCGGCGCCUUAGAGCUUCUGUGGCGAAGUCAUCUACCAAGUCAUCAGCAUCAUAAACAACUUCUUCUAGCCUCUCAAGCCAGCCUUUCACUUGACGGUUAAGUUUCUGCUGCUCCUCAGCAUCCAGAAGAACGUUGCGAAUACUAGAAACUGUGGCCUCAAGUUUCUUAAGCUCACCUUUGACGCCCCACCACAAUCCGAUCUCAUGAAGGGCUCGAGAACCCAGCUUGGUAAUGAUAUCUCCGACAACGUUAGAGAGAACUCCGUCGGCCAUUUUGGGCGUUUUGGUUUGAUUGUAAAAGGAUGAAAUGUUGCUGUGAAGAAGAAGACGGUGACAACAAAUGACUGAUUUAAAGAAAAAAAAAGAAGUGGAGGAAAAAGCAUUCUUCUAAAUGAUUAUCUUCGGUCGGUCAACUUUGAACGGCGCUGGUUUGCUUUUUAAAUAAUAUAUUAAUACAUUUAUAUAUAUACAGAUGGAAAGAAAGUUAUUUUUUAAAAAAUAAUUUUAUUUUUUAUUAGAAAUGCAUUUUUUUUAAUUAAAUUUGAUGAGUGAUUCAAAUAUUAAAAAAUAUAAAAUAUAUAUAUACAGAUGGAAAGAAAGUUAUUUUUUAAAAAAUAAUUUAAUUUUUAAUAGAAAUGUAUUUUUUUUAAUUAAAUUUGAUGAGUGAUUCAAUUAUUAAAAAAUAUAAAAUAUAUUUUCGAUAUUGCUGAGAUUAAAUUGAUGUUGUAGUCGGAAUGAAACUGUACUAUAAUUGGUUAGAAUUUAUAAGAGAGGAAAUAUGAGAUAGUGGUGGGUACCUAUAGCAGCAAGGCAGUGAUGAGUACCUAUGACAGCUACUGUGACGCUAAAGUCAGUAUUUUGAAAAAUAGAAAAAAUUUAAUGAAUAACUUAGAGUUUGAGUAGUAUCAUAGAUAAUGUACCUUUAUCUUCGUAAUCGUUCUCCUUUUAUACUAUGAGAAAAUGUAUAUAAAUAUAUCAUGAAACAACAGGGCCUAAACUGGUCCAAAUAACUUUUGGACUCACUUUUCACUUGACCCAAAAUGGUUAAUUCAGGUUAUUUAGUAGUUUCGUGCUAGCUAUUAUAUACAAUUCCAAAAUCUCCCGAUGUGGGACAGCUUUCGCAGCGGAAGCGAACAGCUGACCAUUACACUCGAUCCCGCUAAAUUUGCGACGUCCUCGUCGCAGUUGAAUUGGAUACAAUUGCUAAUUAGGACCGAACCCUUAGGUAUUGUGGUUCGCUAGUACGUCGGGCGGCUCCACCUCGUCUCACACGGGUAGCUCUUUCCUUACAGGCUCACUAGCUCUACAUAAUUUGUUUGAUCUAGAGUGGCUCUAAUACCAAUUGAAACAGUCAGGUCCAAACUUGCUCAAAUAACUUUUGGACCCACUUUCUACUUUGCCCAAAAUAGUUAAUCUAAGUUAUUUAGUAGUUUUGUGCUACCUAUUAUAUACAAUUCCGAUUUUCUAUAAUCUCCCGGUGUGGGACGGCUUCCGCAGUGGAAGCAGGUAGCUGACCGUUGCACUUGGUCCCGCUAAAUUUGCGACGUCCUCGUCGCAACUGAAUCGGAUACAAUUGCUAACCAGGAUCGAACCCUUAGGUAUUGUAGUUCGCUAGUACCUCGAGCGGCUCCACCUCGUCUCACACGGGUAGCCCUUUCCUCGUAGGCCCACUAGCACAAUUUGUAUCUAGGGUGGCUCUAAUACCAAUUGAAACAGUCGGGUCCAAACUGGCCCAAAUAACUUUUGGACCCACUUUCCACUUGUCCCAAAAUGGUUAACUCAAGUUAUUUAAUAGUUUCGUGCUAACUAUUAUAUACAAUUUCGAUUUUCUAUAAUCUCCCAAUGUGGGACAGCUUCCGCAGCGGAAACAGGUAGCUGAUCGUUAUAAUCGGUCUCGCUAAAUUUGCGAUGUCCUCGUCGCAACUGAAUUUGAUACAAUUGCUAACCAAGACCGAACCUUUAGGUACUGUGGUUCGCUAGUACCUCUGGCGGCUCCACCUCAUCUAACACGGGUAGCUCUUUCCUCGCAGGCCCACUAGCUCUGCACAAUUUGUCUAACUCAGGGUGGCUCUGAUACCAAUUAAAAUAGUCGGGCCUAACCUGCCCCCAAAGGUUUGACUUUUGAAUCUGUGAGCGGACUUUAGGCCGUCGAACCUGCUGCCGAAAGUGCCCUGUCCAGCCUUUUUCAGCUUGCUUCCUACGUGUGUUCUUCUAUGUUCUUAGGGGGUAGUUUUAAGUGUUGUAAAAGUUAUAUUUGGUUCCUCAUUUAAGUCCAUCUGUGUAGGAUCGGACUUGGAAGAUCGUAGAAACUUGCAGUAAGAUAACUGUAUCAAAAUUAGGCGUGCGUCAGCCAGAGGUGAGUAGAACUAAACUCAAUUAUUAUUUUAAAAAAACCAAAUGUUUUAAGCAUACUUAUGCAUCACAAAUGCUAUGUAUAUAUAUGAUUAUGGUGCUUUGCAUUAGAAUUCACGAAUAUAAUGCAUUGCAUAAUUUAUUAUUGUUGUUGAUGUAUGUUAGAUGACCUUCUAGCCCUCAAGUAUGUUAUGGUAUGUUAUGACGGAUAUGGAAAGAGCAGGACUUGCUCAUUCUACGCCCUUGGCACUGUGUAAGGGAAAGACCAGGGUUACACAUUUUAUAUCCGUGGCACUAUGGAUAUGUUAUUUUAUGUUUAAGAGGAAAUUCUGAAAAGCGCUUGUCGUGGGCUGGGCACUAUUGGAAUCUAUAGAGAGUCACUGGUGACAAGUCUAUCUUGAUAUGAAUUGUUUGUGUUGUGACACAUUUAUACGAUCAUAUGUCUUAUUAAACUGCUUUUGUUAUGUUUCUGCUCACUAGCCUCUUAUAGUUUAUCCCUUUUCCCUAACUCCAGAUUUGCAGGAUCAGAAUUAGCUCGAGAGGUGGGCCGAGGUGUUGGUAUAGUCCAUUGUAAUAACAUAGUUGUGGACAUGUAUUAAUUUGUGAAUUUGAAUUGUGUUUUGCGUGAGUUUUCUUUAUAAUCCUUAUUUUAUGAUUUUUUUAUGUAAAAGAUUUUAAGUCUAAAUUAUGUUUGAACUAAGCUUGAGGUGUGUAAUAUUGACUAUACUAAAACAUUUGAUGAGAGCUCUAGUAUGAAUUUAUGUUUCCAGUUCUGAUACAUGCGCAGGUCAAGUUUUUGUUAUUGAAAUAGAAGUGUUUUUACAUGUUUGUGUGAUUAUGUAUGGAUCUAUAUCAAAUGUAACAGGAUGUAUAGUAAAUUUGCUAUGAGUUCCGGCAACCUUAGAUUGAUCUGAACCGUAGUGCCGAUAGCGGUCUGAGUUGCAGAUGUGGCUCCGAAUUGAAUUAUUUAACAAAGUAUGGGGUAUCAAAGGAAAAAAGUGAAAACUUUGGGUAUUGACUUCAUUCCUUUGGAGGUUAGUCUGAAGGACACUAUUGAAAGCUUGAAGGAUAAGGGCUUCCUCAGCAUUUAAUAUUGGCUGUUGGAUAAAAAGCAAUGCAAAUAUUACAUUGGCUUUUCAGGUUCAUUGGCUUUAGCUUCCUAUUGGUGCAAGAUAUUAUUACCCUUCAGGAUUGUCUUUAUUUGAAAAAAGUGGACCAAUACAAUUUGUAAAAUACAUAACAAUUUGUAUACAACUGUAUAUAAACAUAUUACAUGUGUCACUUGUUUCACUGGUGGAUGAAGUUCAUUUCAGGUCUGAUUUCUGAGGAAGUUACUCUUUUUUUUAUCUGAUUUCAGGUCUCAUUCCAAAGAAUAAGACACAAGAAAAAGAAAAUGUGUAAUCCACCAAUUCAGAUUUAGUUCAGUCUUUUCAAAGUAUAUUCAGAUUUCAUAGCCAACUCAUUUUAUGCUGUAUCUGAUUUCUGGUUCUUGUGAUAUGCUCUUACAAAAUUCAUCUAAAAUUCAGUGCUCUUACACAUUCUGGAAACAACAAUUUAUACAAAAACUGAUUUCUCAGGGAAAAAAAGGAAAAUAAUGUUAUUUGCAUUGAAUGAACAAAUGAUUAGCAUAGUAGCAAAACUACUUAAAAUAAGAGAAAUUAGAAACAAAAAAGCAGCACAGCAUGAGUCUGGGCAUUGCAUGUUGGAUGAUCGAAACAGAGGUGUUGAGUGAGAAUCUAGAUCCUGAAAUACGCGGGCCUGCAAAAAGUCAUUCGAAGAAGUGUGCAAAACUCCCAUCAUUCAGCUUUCAUUUCUGCUUCCGGCUUAGCAGGAUUACUAUGUACUGAGUUGUUUUCUGAACUGUGACAGAUAGGAAACUUAUCCCGGUGAGAUUUUAUUCCGGAAUGUCAAGGGCACAAUGCGUAGCUUAGUGAAUCUCCAUCAUCUUUGCCGCAGGUGUAAGUUAUGAAGAUAAUUGCUAGAUGGAGGAUUUUCACACUAGUAAUUUAGCAUCUGUUUCAAGCCAGAAUCAUCAUUAAAUCACAGAUUUGCUUUACAAGCAAUAACUAGGGGGAUUUCAUAUUACAAGUAGUCUUUAUAACUUACUGAAUCGCUUAUUUUUGAAGACAGAGGAUGAGGAGAGCUCACGUUUUGUUUUUACUGCACAAAUACUGCAUAUGGAAUCUGAGUGAGGAGUUACUCUCUAAAAAUUUCAAAAGUGUUUUUGAGAGGUACCUUUGCGUGAAUCUUCUGGCAACAGACUCAAAGUAGUCAUCCAAUAAGUAGAAAUUCUUCUAUGGAAGGCCACACACAUUAAUAGCAGUUCUUUCAAGGCGAAUUAUGCCAAGCCAAUCAAGGAAUUGCUGCCAUGGCAUGUAGUUGUGGUUUCUUAAUGUGUUCGAGUAACUUCUGCACAAGGAAUCAAAUUAAUCUUUAAAUCCGUGAAAUUAAAAGGGAUGCAGAAUUACAAAACUAAUAAUAAUAACAAUAAUAAUAAGAUGGAUAGAAGCAUGACCUGCCAAUGCAUGAUUUCGGCAAGCCUUUGCAUUGGUUCACCACUUCCCAAUGUAGUAAGAAUUUCAACAGCAUCCCAGAAUUUCAAUAGCAUCCCAAUGAUAACUCAUACUUGAUGAGCCUUGAUGGAGAAAUGAAAGUCCAGUUAAAAUUAUUCAAAAUGCAUAUCCACUCGCCAAGAACAUAUGCACCCAGAAAUCUCCUUAAAUAAAUAAGGUUUUAACAAGGUGAAUGCUUUGCUUUUUCUUUUUUUGGGAAGAACUUCAAAGUUAACAAAGGUAAGACUAUUGAGUUUUGAUGUUUACCUUGUGUGGGAGAAAUAUGAUGUUUACCCAGAAAUCACAUUUUGUUUUCAGAAUAAAUGGUUUUUUCCACCUCUGCAUUUGACAUUGAAAAAACUUAAAUAAAUACCAAACAAUUAAGAUAUGCUGCUGAUUUAAUUUACAAAGGAAUGGUGCAUGUGAAGAGAAAUUGACAUAUGACAAUCACCUUCAGCACAAUCAAUUCUCAUCCUAAUUUAGAAGACUAAUCAAACUAAUUGCAACAAUAACAUCUUCUCCACGACGUCUACUACCUUCCGCACAUAGAGUCAAAAUUAAUCCGUUAUAUCCAUGAAAAGAAUGAAGGCAGAAUUACAUUAAAAAAUGAAUAAAAAUGAUGGCUAAAAGAAAGACCUGCCAAUGCAUUUAAGAUCUCUUUGAAUUUGUUUCCCACAUCCCAAUUUAUUAGAAUUUCAGGUGACUAAAAAACAAAUAAAUGAUUCCUCUAGCUUGAUGAGCCUGCAUAUGUGGGAAAAAAGUGUUAAAAUAUUAUCAUAAAGCAAAUAAAUUCUCAAUUAUAAAAAAAAAAAUAAAAGAAAAAAAAAGGUACUCUGUAUAUUGAUAUUGAUUGUAAAGAAAUAAUGACAAAAGGAUACUUACGACUCAAAGGUAAUACACUGCUCAUUUUGGAAGAAACACAUCCAACACUUCAAAACUUAUCCUUCAUUGAUCUGUGUAAAUAGAAUCAUAGAGUGAAGAUUUUCUCAUGUAAGUUUAAUUUGCAAAUUGGAGAGAAAAAGGACCAACUUACCGAAGCUUCAUCAUCCAGUAGAUAGCGGCCCUCUCUUUGAAUUCUUUGGUCAUCAACUUCAAUAUUUGGGAUGUGAGAAAUGAAAGCCCAAUCCGCACCCUCUCUAUUUCCACAUCUUUCCUUCAAUUGGGGACAGUCAUUGAUAUUCAAUUCUCGUAACGAGGUGAGGGAACGCAUCUCUUGAGGCAGACACUUUAUUGCCGGACAAAUGUCAAUGGUUAGUCUUUGAAGACAAGCGAGAUUCCGCAGUCCAUCUGGAGGUAGAGAUUCGAGCUCUUAAAUAUUUUAACAUUUUUAUAGAAUUAUCCAUCGUUCUUCUAUAUGAAUAUAUAGUAAAUACACGCAAAAAUUUUAAAUUUUUAUAAAUAAAUAGCUGAUUGACAUCAUGUUUCUUAAACAAAAGAAUCGAUCGUACUCUUUUAGCAUUGUUAAGAAUUUCUUGUGGUGCAACAUCUAAAUUCAAUGCUACAUGAUGGGUUUUCUCAUCAAUAUUUGGUGUAUUAAAAUUUACUAGCUGAAUCCUCUUCUCAUCCACUCUAGUUGCGAGAUUGUGCAUUAAAUCAUGCAUUUUACAGCUUUCGACAUUUCCACAUCUAUCUCUUUUCACCUCUUGAAAAAAUGACCUCCACCACAGUUUCAUAAAAUAUUCAAGCCCAAUAUCUUCAAGACAAUCACUGGUACCUGGUGACUCAAUAAACCCUUGUGCAACCCAAAAAUGGAUUAAUGUUUUCACAUCAAUCACAUAAUCUUUUGGAUAUAUUGCGCAAUAUGCAAAACAAUGCUUCAAAUGUGAUGGGAGAUGAUCAUAGCUUAGUUUCAGUGUUGGCAUAAUAUCAUUACCAUCUUGACUUAUUCUUGAGAGUUCUUUUCUCAAAAAGGGCAGCCACUCAGUUUCUGGAUUUUUCGCAUACAAGAGACUUGCGAUAGUUUUUAUUGCAAGAGGAACUCCAUGACAUUUCUUCAGAAUCUCCUUUCCCUUCUCUCUUACAUUUGCAUGUUUUGGCUCCUGCCCCUCAAGUGCUACAUGCAAAAACAAAGACCAAGACUCCACCACAGAUAAGCCUUCCAAAACAUGUGGUGCUAUUGUGCCAGAUAUAUCUGCCACCUUUUUAGAGCGAGUGGUUAUUAAUAUCUUACUUCCACUAGAGCCACCCACUAAUAAUCUCUUUAAAUUCUGCCAUGUUUUUCUAUUCUCAUUCCACACAUCAUCUAGAACAAGCAGAUAUUUCUUCCCACAAAUAAUUUUUUCCAGUCUAGACUUCAAUGCUUCUAACUCAAGAUCUUCCGAUUUAUUCCCUGUUGCAGACUCUAGAAUCUUUCCAACAGUCAUUUUCACAUCAAAAGGUUCUGAAACACACACCCAUAUUCUUGGCUCAAAUGAAUUCUUAAUCAAUUCAUCAUUCAAUAUGAUUUGAGCAAGAGUGGUCUUCCCUAAUCCUCCAAUUCCAACAAUUGAGAGGACUGAAACACACUCUUCACCAUUGGAAGACAAUACAAGUUCUGUAAUUGCCUUUUUGUCACCCUCUCUCCCAAUAAUCACUUCAGGUAAAGAGGACGUAGUUUGAUCCCUCCAUACAAUACUCUCCUGAUCAGUACGAACCUCUAAAUUAAAUUUUCUGUCAGCUUCAAUAUCAGCUAGCCUCUCCCUAAUCGCCUUAACUUUAUGACCCAUUUUAAAACCAUAAACAAGUUGAUUUGAAGAUGAAAAGAAGAGACUUACCUCCUUUGUCAUUCUAUUUCCAGUCAUCACUCGGCGCCUUAGAGCUUCUGUGGCGAAGUCAUCUACCAAGUCAUCAGCAUCAUAAACAACUUCUUCUAGCCUCUCAAGCCAGCCUUUCACUUGACGGUUAAGUUUCUGCUGCUCCUCGGCAUCCAGAAGAACAUUGCGAAUACUAGAAACUGUGGCCUCAAGUUUCUUAAGCUCACCUUUGACGCCCCACCACAAUCCGAUCUCAUGAAGGGCUCGAGAACCCAGCUUGGUAAUGAUAUCUCCGACAACAUUAGAGAGAACUCCGUCGGCCAUUUUGGGUGUUUUGGUUUGAUUGUAAAAGCACGAAAUGUUGCUGUGAAGAAGAAGAUGGUGACAACAAAUGACUAAUUUAAAGAAAAAAAAAAGUGAAGGAAAAAGCAUUCUUCAUAAUUAUCUUCGGUCGGUCAGCUUUUGCGGGCGCUGGUUUGCUUUAAUUUAAAAAGUAAAAUAUAUUAAUAAAUUUAUAUAUAGAAUGAAAGUAAGUUAUUUUUUUUUAAAUAAUUUUAUUUUUUUUAUUAAAAAAAUAAUUUUUAUUAAAUAAAUUUUAUGAGUGAUUCAAAUAGUUAAAAAAUAUAAAAUAUGUUUUUGAUGUUACUGAAUUUUGGUUAUUGAAAGGAAAGUAUUUUUAUAUACUUGUGUGAUGAUGUGUAGAAUUAUAUUAGGUGUAACAUAACAUAUAAUAGAUUUGUUAUGAGUUUUAAGGAUUUUAAAUCGAUUUGAAUUCUAAUACUGUAGCGAUUCGAUUUCUGAAUCGUUACGGGAACAAUGAAUUGAUUUUAUUUUUUGGGUAGCAAAAGCUUAAGAGUAUUCUGUUGCAUAUUAUAGAUCCAUCGAUGUAAGAGAUGUUGCUUAUGCAUACAUUCAAGCUUUGGAGAUUCCUUCAGCUAGUGGCAGAUAUUGUUUCAUUAAAAGAGAUGUCCACUUCUCUGAGGUUCUGAAGAUUGUGUCAGCAACAUUAUCCUACAUUGCACCUUCCAAAAAAGUAUGGUUUUUUUUUUAUAUAUUUUUGCAUGCUCAUGUUGGACCAGCUAUAUAAAUGACUAAGAUUUAUAAUUAUUUGGAUAAUUGAGAAAUAGUUGUUUUGAAUGAUUAAUUUGAUCAUGGAAUAUAAUAUGAGUUGCAGAUGUGGCUCUGGAUUGAAUUACUUAACAAAGUAUGAGGUAUCAAAGGAAAAAGCGAAAACUUUGGAUAUUGACUUCAUUCCUUUGGAGGUUAGUUUCAAGGACACUAUUGAAAGCUUGAAAGAGAAGGGUUUCCUCAGCAUUUGAUUUUGGCUGUUGGAUAAAAAGCAAUGCAAAUAUUACAUUGGCCUUUCAGGUUCAUUGGUUUUAGCUUCCUAUUGGUGCAAGAUAUUAUUGCCCUUCAGGAUUGUCUUUAUUUGAAAAGAGUGGACCAAUACAAUUUAUAAAAUAUAUAACAAUUUGUACAGAACUGUGUAUAAACAUUUUACAUGUGUCACUUGUUUCACUGGUAGAUGAAGUUCAUUUCAGGUCUGAUUUAUGAGGAAGUUACAAUUUUUUUUUUUUUAUCUGAUUCCAUGUCUCAUUCCAAAGAAUAAGACACAAGAAAAAGAAAAUAUAUAAUCCACCAAUUCUGAUUUCGUUCAGUCUUUUUAAAGUAUAUUCAGAUUUCAUAGCCAAUUCAUUUUAUGUUGUAUCUGAUUCAGGGUAUUAAAUAACGGCCGUUACGUAACGUAACGGCCGUUAUGUAACGGUAUCAAGGGGGGUCGUUACCCGUUAGGCCGUUACCCAACGGCCCCCUUGAAUUGCAUCCGUUACGGCCGUUACGUAACGGUAACGGCCGUUACCGACAGUGAUGUAACGGUAACGGCCGUUACUUUAUCCCAACACAAACUUCAGAUUACAGAGAAUAUAUUCAAAAACCAGCUAUGCAUUGAAUUUGACCACUUUUGUCCCUCUUCUCCAGCAAGCACAGCAGACAACCUCAUUUUGCAACUAAAAUUUCCAACUUUCUUUUCCUUUUCUCUCAAAUAUCUCAAUCUCAAGCUUCUCUAAACAUUUCUCAUUUACAAUUACAAGCUUCAAUCUACCAUUAACUACUUCAUUUCAAGAUAAUUUCUUUUAAAAAGUGACUUAAUAUUUCUAUGUAUUUUUACUUUCAAAGUUGCUGUAUUUUUUUUUUUAAUUUUUGUAGAUUAAAUUUGUAGUUUUGAGUUAAAAAUAUAUUUUGAGCUAUUAAUUUGUCCGAUCUAUAAAAAUUGUAUGGUUUUUGUUAGUUUAGACUAUUUUUCAGAAAUCAUUAUGAAAUUAAACUAAUUUUAGUUGCUGUAUUUUUUUUGUUUCAUUUUUGUGGAUUAAAGUGUUAGAUUUGAGUUAAAUUAAUAGUGUAUUUUUACUUUCAGAAUUUUAGAGGAAUCAGAGCUGCUGUAUUUUUUUUUUUAACUUUUGUAGAUUAAAUUUGUAGUUUUGAGUUAAAAAUAUACUUUGAGGCUAUUAAUUUGUUAGAUCUAUAAAUUGUAUGGUUUUUGUUAGUUUAGUUUAGACUAUUUUUCAGAAAUUAUUAUGAAAUUAAAUUAUUUUUAGUUGCUGUAUUUAUUUUUUUUUAAUUUUUGUGGAUUAAAGUGUUAGUUUUGAGUUAAAUUAAUAGUGAUAGAAUAAGACUUGUAGUUUGACAAUUAAAAUUUCAUAUUUAUAUAAUUUGUGUUAAAUAGAAAUUAAUAUAUGUAGUUAGGUUAAAAUUAAAAUAUUAGUUAUGAAAAAAAUAUUCGCCUUCCAUGUAUUUGACAUUUGAUAUCUUUUAAAUUUUAUGAACAAUUAUUAAAUAUUUGUAUUAAAAUGCCUCAUGGAAGUGGUUCUGGUUCUACUCAAGGGGUGGUAAACUAAGUGAUGAUAUUGGGUGGAAGUUUGCAACACCUACAGGGAAAAAAAGGAGAACUGAUUUGUAAUUUAUGUGGGAGAAAAGUCACAGAUGGAAUAACAAGAUUGAAGUUGCACUUGGCUAACAUACCUGGUCAAAUUGCAGGUUGUGAGAAAGUUUCUUCCAAAGUUAAGAAGGAUAUGGCCGCUGUCCUGAAAGAAUACCAAUUAGCUAAAAAGGAUAAAGAAAAAAGAGAAAGAGAAUUAGAAGAAGAAAUUAUGAAUAUAAAUAGAAUCGAAGAUGAUGAAGAGGAGGAGGAGGAAGAGGAUAUCGAAAUGGAAAUAGCGAGACGGGCGAGCAUGAGACAGUUGGAAGAAGAUGAAUUUAAAAGGAGAACUGGAUCUAGAUUUGAUGUUGGUGGUAGUAGCAGACAAGUGUUGGGUCGUUCUGCUACUACACGUGAGGGAGGUAGAGAAACACAAAAAUAUGCAGAAGUAUCUACACCGGCAUCUCGGUUGGCUGCCACAGAAAUUGAGAUAGAGAGAAGCAGAGCUCAACAAAAGCAGCCAAAAUAAAAAACUAAAUGGUUGAAGACACAGAAGGAGAAAAUGUUGUAAGCAUUUGGAAAUUUUAUUAUACAUAAUAGGCUUUCCUUCAGUAUUGUUGAGUCACCGUGAACAAAGCCACUUUUAAGAACAGCAGCAGAAAUCGGGGCUAAUGUAUCUCCACCUACUGCUUAUGAAAUAGCAAAAAUUUAUCUAAAAAAUGAGUACAAUGAGAUGAAAAAAUAUAUAGCCUCAUUUGAUGGAAUAUGGAAGGAGAGGGGAGUUACUAUAAUGUGUGAUGGUUAGAGUGGGCCAACACGUAUGAGUAUAGUAAAUUUCCAUGUCUAUUCAAACAGAGGAACAGUGUUCCACAAGUCUAUUGAUGCAUCCAAUGUGGAAUAUAAAGAUGGAGAACACUAUUUUAAAAUUAUGAAAGAAGUAGUGGAAGAAAUAGGGCCUAAAAAAGUUGUCCAAGUGGUAAUGGACAACGAAGCUGCCAUUAAAUUAGGAGGGAAGAAACUGAAGGAGAAAUUCCCUAAUCUAUAUUGGACUGCUUAUAGUGCUCAUUGUAUUGAUUUGAUUUUGGAAGAUAUUGGAAAGAAGAAGAGUGUGAAAAAAAUAAUUGACCAAGCCAAGGUAAUUACUCAAUUUAUUUAUAAUCAUAAUUGGGUAGUCAAUUAUAUGAAGAAAUUCACGGACAAUAGAGAUAUUAUUCGACCUGGCAUCACUAGAUUUGCCACAAACUUUAUUGCUUUAGAGUCUAUUGUCCGUUAUAGGGUGAGGCUAAGGAAUAUGUUCGAAUCGGAGCAAUGGAUGAUGAGUAAAUAUGGACAAGCAACAAGUGGUCCAGCGCAUGAAGUCAAGAAAAUUGUGCUUGGCUUAGGCAGCGAAGGAAGAAACUUUUGGGAGAAGGCACAACAAAUAAUGAAAGUUCAAGAACCUCUCUUGAAGGUUUUAAGAUUAUUUGGUGGGGAUGACAAGCUAACAAUGAGAUUUAUAUAUGAGGCAAUGGAGCGAGCGAAGUUGGCUAUUCAAAAAAAUUCUAGAAGCUAUUUGGAAUAUUGGAGAAUAAUUGAUCAUAGAUAAAAUUUUCAAUUGCAUCAUGACUUACAUGCCGCUGGUAAGAACAUUGUAUUAUAAUUUGAUAGUUUAGAAAAUUAAAUUGUUAAAUUAAGAGAUAACUUAUUAUCUAUCUUCAUAUUUUAUUUUGCAGGAUAUUUUCUAAAUCCUUAAUAUCAAUAUGGCCCAUAUGAUAUUGGAAAUGAUAAUGAGAUCGUCUCAAAAAUGUGAUUCAACAUCUAGAGGGGGAUUUAGUAAAUCAAGGAAAAACAUUAAAUAAAGUAAGUAACAACUAACAAGCUAAUUCUUAAUUGUUACUAUGUUAGUGUAGUUGAAGGCUUGAAGCUUGAAUUGUUGCUUUUGAACUUGAAGUUAACUUACUGGAAUUUGGAACAUGUAGACCCUACUUUUUCGGGACAAAAUAGAGAGUUUUGGAACAGUUUUGGCACAAAAGGCAAUUAAGUUCACUAAUCCAGGUACUAAGUUUAUAAAAUAAGUAUAAAUUAUUUUUGUUCAUUCAUUUAUAUACAGCUAAGUUCAUUAAAAUAAUAAAAACUUAAAAUAUUUUACAGCUGAGUGGUGGAUUAAUUAUAGAGAAAGUGCUCCUGAGUUGAGAAAAAUCGCUAUUAAAAUACUGAGCCAAACAACUUCAGCUUCAAACUGCGAGAGAAAUUGGAGCACAUUUUCUCACAUUCACACAAAGACAAGAAACAGAUUGAAGUAUAAAAAAUUACAUGCACUUGUCUUUGUGCACUACAACAUGAGGCUGAAAAUCAGAAAUGUGAUAAGAAAAAGCCAACAGGAGUUAGACAGGAGCUACGAUCCAAUUAAUUUGGAUUAUAUUUUUAAAGAAGAUGAUCCGUUAAACUCUUGGUUGGAGGAAAGAGAAUCUCCAUUGUUUGAUGGGCAACCAAUGUAACAGCCCGAAAACCGGUACCCCUUUGUAACGGCUCCAAACUGCUCGGCGCUAGGAUCCAGAUCGGCUUAAGGCCGCGGGACCCGUAGCAAGCCUGCUAAACUCUCUAAACAUCUGGUAUAAUCCCAUACAUGAUCAACCUAUUACUUUUCAGGCUUAACCUGAGCAAGAUCUGUAACUGAAAACUUGUCUUUUCUCUUUACCAAGCUUAACUCGUGCAUGCACUUACUACUAACUUAACCCCACUCUGGAGUCUACAAGGGCUGCUCCAAUGGAGUAACAUCUCAUUCAUUAAGCUUGGUUACCAUGAAAACGUCUUGAAAACAUUUCAAGCAAAAUGAAAACAUUUAUCUUAAAAAACUCAUGAUCAUGUACCACAUGAAGGGAUUAACCAACACUAGGCAAAGCACAUCUCUAAACCUUAUCUCAUAUACCUUUCUUAACUUUACUCUAUCACUUUACCACAUAUUCUUUCCAUUCAUAACCUUUAUAUACAUCAUGUCCUUACAUCAUGUCCACAACUGCACUAUAUAAGCAUAUAAAACAUAACAUCACUUAAUCUUUAUAUCAAUCUUGCAUAACAUAUACAUGCCACUCAAACAACACUAAGCUAUACUAUUACAUCCAAAACACUAGCCACAACAUAACUCUUGACUCUGCCACCUCUGACUUCCCAUAGCUCACUCUGAUCAAACUCUGGCCCUGCAACACUGGGGUUAAGGGAAAGGGAUGAGCUACUAGAGCCCAGUGAGUAGAAACCAUAAAACAGUUCAUUCAUUCAUUACAUGCUCUCGUGCAAUGCGUCACAGCACAAACAUAUCAUAUCUCGGAUUAGACAUGACCCCAGACACUACAAAAAUCUGUUGGAAUAGUAACGGAUAUUAGUAACGGAUUUAAAUCCGUUAUAAUUUUAUAACGGAUUAGUAACGAAUUUUAUAUUCUGUUACUAAUUUUUAUUAUUUAGUAACGGAUUGACAAUCCAUUACUAAAUCUGUUACUUAAUAAAAUUAUUUAUAAAUUUAAUAACGGAUUUUGAGAUCCGUUAUAAAUCUAUUACUAAAUUAGCUAAAAGUUAGUAACGGAUCUCAAUCCGUUAAUAAAUUUGUUACUAAAUCGGUUACUAAAUAAAUAAAUUAAAUAAAUAAAAUAGUAACGGAUUUAAUAACGGAAUGUUGUAACGGAUUUAAUCUGUUACUAUUUUUUUAAUAAAAAAAUUAAUUUUUUAUUUUUUAAAAUUUCAAAUUUUCUUUUUAAGUUAGUAACGGAUAUAAUCUGUCACUAAAUCCGUUACUGAUACGAAAAUUAGUAACAAAUUCUAUAAUCCGUUACUAAAUUUUAGAAAAUAAAAUACCGCGCUUUUAUUUUAAAUUCCUGCAUUUUUAUUUCUAAUUUAGUAACGGAAAAAAUCUGUUACUGAGUUCAUUACUAAUUUAAAAUUAGUAACGGAUUAAGAAAUCCGUUACUAAAAUUUGAAGAAUAAUACCGCCUUUUUAUUUUAGUUCGCCCGCAUUUUUUUUUUAAAUUUAGUAACGGAUUUAAUCCGUUACUAAAUCCGUUACUAAUUCGCGUAUUUAUACACUCACCCAUUUUAUCUCCCUUCACUUAUUCAUUUUCUUUCUCCCCAUUUUAUUUCCCUUCAUUUCAUUCAUCUUCUUUCUCCUCUUCUCUCAUCAUUUCUUCAUUUCUCCCUUAUCUUAUUUUUUUCUUAAUUAUUAACUCCAUUUUUUUUUCAUUUUCUUUCAUUUCCUUCAAUUUUCUCUUUAAUUUUCUUUCAUUUCCUUCAAUUUUCUCUUCAAUAUUCUUUCAUUAUUGAUCUUCCUUUUAUCACUUGAUUUUUGUUUUAUUUUCUCUCAUAUUUUUUCUUUCAUUUUUUUCUAUUUUCUUUCAUUUUCUUCUAUUUUCUUUCAUUUUCUCUUCCACUUUCUAUCAUUUUCCCUUCCUUUUUCUUUCAUUAUUCAUUCAUUUAUUUUCUUUUCUCUCAUAUAUAUACUCUAACCUUUUUUUUACAUUCUUUUGUAUAUCUUCAUUUUCUCUUUAUUUUUCUUCAUUUUUUCUUCAUCUUUCUCUCAUUUUCUUUCUUUUUUCUAUUUUUUCUUCCUUUUUUCUCAUUUUCUUUAAUUUUCCCUUUUUUCUUAUUUGCUCUUCAUUUUUAUCAUUAUUUUCUUUUAUUUUCUUUCUUUUGUUAUUUUCUCUUUUAUAUCUCAUUUUUUUUUCUAUUCUCUCACAUUUUUUCUUUUUUAAAUUUUCUCAUGUAAUUUUAUAAUAAUUUUCUCAUAAAAUUAAUAAAAUUUAAAAUAUUAAAGUUAAUAUUUAAUAUAAAAUACAAUGAAAAAAUUAAUAGUUUACCAUAAUUAAAUUAUUAUCUAAUGUAAAAUAUAAUGAAAUAAAUUAAUUCCAUUUAAAAAAAAUGAAAUAAAUUAAUAAUUUAAUAUAAUUUUUAAAAUAUUUUUUAAAAUUAACAAUAGAUUUAAUAACGAAAUAUAAAUUUAAUAUAUUUUUUUUAUUUUUUAUUUUAUCAAAUUAGUAACGGAUUAGUAACGGAUUUCUAUCCGUUACUAAAUUUAGUAACGGAUGCAAUUUAUUUAUAUAUUUUUAAUUUUUAUUAAAUUAGUAACGGAUUUGAAAUCCGUUACUAAAUUUCAUUACAAAUCCGUUACUAAAUUCGUUACUAAAUUAGUAACAGAUUGCUAAUCGGUUACUAUUGCAUUAGCAACGAGGUUCAUAGUAACGGAUGUAAAUACGUUACUAAUCUGUUACUAAACUGGUUAGUAACGGAUUUUUCAUUGAUUAGUAACGGAAAAAUCCGUUACUAAUCCGGAAAAAUCUUAUAGUGAGAACUCCCUCUGUCGGUGACCGGCCCCUAAGGAACAUCUCGGUCACUACAUGUACUAGAGCCCGGCCCCUACUACGGAGCUCCCAAAGGUCUUAUCUAGACAUAACAGGUCGCGGGCUACUGGGAUCGCCUUGGUCCAUCCCAUCAACAGUAAAAUAGUGCAAUGCAACAUAGUCGUGAUCUCUAAUGCAAUACAACCUGGUAUCACAUGGCAUUCAUGAUGCGUGUCUCAUGCUCAUACUGUCAUUUCCUUUAAAUAUUAACUUUAAAACAUGCAUAGUUAGUUCUACUCACCUGAAGCCUCUGCUCAGCUAACUCUGGGCCUACUCUAACACUGGAGCUAAACACCUCGCCUCAGGUCCGAUCCUACACAGGUGGUCUCACAUGAGGUGCCAAACAACUCUAAAACAUCUCCCCAAAACCCCUCUAAAGCAUCAUAAGCAUGCAUGGAAAAACAUGCAAAGGAAGGCAAAACAGGGCACCUUCGGCGGCACUUUCGGCGGCCGAAAGUCUCCUCCAGAGACGAAACUCGGGUAGGUUCGGCGGCACCUUCGGCGGCCGAAUGUGCAUGACAGAUCCGAAAGUCCAACUUCCGGAGGCAAGGUUAGGCAGCCGAAACCACCUCCUCAAGGGUUCGGCGGCCGAAACUCCUUUCGGCGGCCGAACCUGAGUUCCUCUAGAACUCAAAUUCAUGCACCAACACACCUCCCUAAGCCUUCCUAACUCUCUUAACAUGCAUACAACCUCUUAAAACCAUGCAUAAACCUCUAAACAUGCAUAAAGGAGCCUAAAACAACCUUAAACUCUAACACUUAACAACAUAUAACACAUAAACACAUACAUAGGCAUAAAGGGCUAUAAAACCCUCCCAUGCAAAACCAUGCAACACAUGCUUCAAAACCCCCAAAACUCUCCAUAAAACUUGCUUAAAACAUCAUAAAACAUAAGGAUCAACACUUACCUCUUGAAGAACUAGAGUUGGUGUGAUCCUAGCUUCAAAACGUGGAGAUACCAAGCUUCUAAAGCUUCAAACUCCAAAACCUUGCUCAAAGCUCACAACUCUUCAAAACAAGGAUAAAAGUCAUGAAAACCUUGAAAGAACUUGUAAAAAACCAUGAAAUCAUACCAAGGAGGACAUGAGCUCACCUUGGGUGGGAAGAGGAAGAAAACUCACCUCUUGAACCGACCUAAGUGGCUUAUAUAGGUGGCUUGGUCAACCACUUUCGGCAGCCAAACAUGCAGGCAAAACCUUCCUACGUUCAGAAGCCGAACAUGGCUUUCGGAAGCCAAAACCAUGCAACCUUCGGCGGCCGAACUUUACCUUCGGCGGCCGAACCUGCAUUUUGCCUCCUUGACCUUUUCUCUCAAAACUCAAAACCUUUUAACUUAAAACCAUCAAAACCCUUAAAACCUUUUUGAAAACCUUUUAGAAAACCUUUAUUUUACCCUUGCUUAACCCUUGACAAAGGGUCCGACAUCCGAGAUUCCACCGGACGGUAGGAAUUCCGAUGCCUGAACGAGCCGGGUAUUACAACCAAAUCCAUGGUUAGAUGAUGAAGAGGCGGGUAAUGCUCCAUCACAGUCUGAAUCUGCCACUCAAACUCAAGGACAACAAGGUGCUGCUGGUGAUGAUGAUUCUUUUAUUUUAUCCAGCUCUAGUAGUGAUGAUGAUGGUGGUGGUGGUGAUCAAGGUGGAGGAGGAACCACAGUUGAAGGAGGUGGUAGUCGUAGUUCACAAGAUCCACCUAGUCAAAGACAAAGUGGAAUUAGAAUUGCUUCUGAACCAUCUCCGAUGCGUACAUAUCAAAGAUCACAAGGCUCUCAUAGUUCUGGUACUGGUGGUGCUGAAACAUCCCAAACAAGAGGUAAGGAUGUUGCAUAUGAGGAGGAGGGGUCAAUUGAUUCAUUAAAUUAUGAAUACAAUGCUGGCACAUAUAAUCCAAAUUUUAUGUAUGGUGGUGGACGUGGACCUGGUGGUAGCUCAUCAUCUGAAGAUACUUCAUCAAAUUAUGGGUUCCAUGGCCAAUUUAGAGGGGUGCCAUAUCCAACAAAUUAUCCUCCUGCAUAUUCAUAUUACCCCUUAUCAAGAGCAGAGUCAGCUUUAUCAUACCCUCAACCAACUUAUGGUGAUCCUAAUGAUAUUAUGGGUGGUGGUUCUUUAUUUAGUUUUGAUCCACAAUAAUACUAUCAACAUCAGCAGCAUCACCUUAAUGAUCAAAGCUCAGAGAGCCAAAGUCAAGACCAACAAGAACCUGCACAAUGUUCUUUUUGGUGGUAGUGAGGUUGGUAAUUUCCUAUUUGGUAUUUAAUUUAAGCUAAAUAGUAUACAUUUGAUAUAUUUAUGUUUAUUAUAUAUUUGUAUAUAUUGUUCUGAAUUAAAUCUAUUGAUAUCAUAUCAUUUUAUGAACUUUGCAAAUUGAUUUGAAAAAUUUGCGUAGCGCCAGGCCGUUACCAUUAUGUUACGGCUGUUACAGACCUAUUUCCGUUACCCGCGACCGCGGCCGCGAUCACCAUUUAAAACCAUGAUCUGAUUUCUGGUUCUUGUUAUAUGCUCUUACAAAAUUCAUCUAAAAUUCAGUGCUCUUACACAUUCUAGAAACACAAUUUAUACAAAAACUGAUUCUCAGGAAAAAAGGGAAAAUAAUGUUAUUUGCAUUGAAUGAACAAAUGAUUAGCUUAGUAGCAAAACUACUUAAAAUCAGAGAAAUUAGAAAUAAAAAAGCAGCACAACAUGAGUCUGGGCAUUGCAUGUUGCAUGAUCGAAACAGAGGUCUUGAGCGAGAAUCUAGAUCCUGAAAUACGCAGGCCUGCAAAAAGUCAUUCGAAGAAGUGUGCAAAACUCCCAUCAUUAAGCUUUCAUUUCUGCUUCCCGCUCAGCAGGAUUACUAUGUACUGAGUUGUUUUCUGAACUGUGACAGAUAGGAAACUUGUCCCGGUGAGUUUUUAUUCCGGGAUGUCAAGGGCACAAUGCGCAGCUUAGUGAAUCUCCAUCAUCUUUGCCACAGGUGUAAGUUAUGAAGAUAGUUGCUAGAUGGAGGAUUUUCACACUAGUGAUUUAGCAUCUGUUUCAAGCCAGAAUCAUCAUUAAAUCACAGAUUUGCUUUACAAGCAAUAACUAGGGGGAUUUCAUAUUACAAGUAGAGUCUUUAUAACCUACUGAAUCGCUUAUUUGCGAAGACAGAAGAAAAGGAGAGCUCACGUUUUGUUUUUACUGCACAAAUACUGCAUAUGGAAUCUGAGUGAGAAGUUACUCCCUAAAAAUUUCAAAAGUGUUUUUGAGAGGUACCUUUGCGCGAAUCUUCUGGCAACAGACUCAAAGAAGUCAUCCAAUAAGUAGAAAUUCAUCUAUGGAAGGCCACACACAUGAAUAGCAGUUCUUUCAAGGCGAAUUAUGCCAAGCCAAUCAAGGAAUUGCUGCCAUGGCAUGUAGUUGUGUUUUCUUAAAGUGUUCGAGUAACUUCUGCACAAGGAAUCAAAUUAAUCUUUAAAUCCGUGAAAUUAAAAAGGAUGCAGAAUUACAAAACUAAUAAUAAGAACAAUAAUAAUAAGAUGGAUAGAAGCAUGACCAGCCAAUGCAUGAUUUCGGCAAGCCUUUGCUUUGGUUCACCACUUCCCAAUGUAGUAAGAAUUUCAACAGCAUCCCAGAAUUUCAAUAGCAUCCCAAUGAUAACUCAUACUUAAUGAGCCUUGAUGGAGAAAUGAAAGUCCAGUUAAAAUUAUUCAAAAUGCAUAUCCACUCGCCAAGAACAUAUGCACCCAGAAAUCUCCUUAAAUAAAUAAGGUUUUAACAAGGUGAAUGCUUUGCUUUUUUCUUUUUUUUUGGGAAGAACUUCAAAGUAAACAAAGGUAAGACUAUUGGGUUUCGAUGUUUACCUUGUGUGGGAGAAAUAUAAUGUUUACACAGAAAUCACAUUUUGUUUUCAGAAUAAAUGGAUUUUUCCACCUCUGCAUUUGACAUUGAAAAAACUUGAAUAAAUACCAAAUAAUUAAGAAAUGCUGCUGAUUUAAUUUACAAAGGAAUGGUGCCUGUGAAGAGAAAUUGACAUAUGGCAAUCACCUUCAGCACAAUCAAUUCUCAUCCUAAGUUAGAAGACUAAUCAAACUAAUUGCAGCAAUAACAUCUUUUCCACGACGUCUACUAACUUCUGCACAUAGAGUCAAAAUUAAUCCGUUAUAUCCAUGAAAAGAAUGAAGGCAGAAUUACAUUAAAAAAUGAAUAAAAAUGAUGGUUAAAAGAAUGACCUGCCAAUGCAUUUAAAAUCUCUUUGAAUUUGUUUCCCACAUCCCAAUUUAUUAGAAUUUCAGGUGAGUAAAAAAGAAAUAAAUGAUUCCUCUAGCUCGAUGAGCCUGUACAUGUGGGAAAAAAGUGUUAAAAUAUUAUCAUAAAGCAAAUAAAUUCUCAAUUAUAAAAAAAAAAAAUAAAAGAAAAAAAAGGUACUCUGUAUAUUGAUCUUGAUUGUAAAGAAAUAAUGACAAAAGGAUACUUACGAACUCAAAGGUAAUACACUGCUCAUUUUGGAAGAAACACAUCCAACACUUCAAAACUUAUCCUUCAUUGAUCUGUGUAAAUAGAAUCAUAGAGUGAAGAUUUUCUCAUGUAAGUUUAAUUUGCAAAUUGGACAGAAAAAGGACCAACUUACCGAAGCUUCAUCAUCCAGUAGAUAGCGGCCCUCUCUUUGAAUUCUUUGGUCAUCAACUUCAAUAUUUGGGAUGUGAGAAAUGAAAGCCCAAUCCGCACCCUUUCUAUUUCCACAUGUUUCCUUCAAUUGGGGACAGUCAUUGAUAUUCAAUUCUCGUAACGAGGUGAGGGAACGCAUCUCUUGAGGCAGACACUUUAUUGCCGGACAAUACACAAUGGUUAGAUUUUGAAGACAAGUGAGAUUCCGCAGUCCAUCUGGAGGUAGAGAUUCGAGCUCUUUAAUGUCCAUAAUGCAAAGGUUCUUCAAUUUAGAGAGAGGAGGAAUGAUUGAGGAAGAAGAAGAGAUUGAUGGUGUGAAUAUUUGGUGCACAAGUUGUGGGCUUGCGUGCAGCAAUUCUAGUGAAUCAUCGAGAGAUGGAAACUGAGGGAUGGAGGUCAAAUUAGGGCAGACCUCACAAGAGAAAUAUGAAAGACAAGGAAAUUGGAGUAGCUCAAGAGCUGUCGAAUCAUCCCUCUUCUUCUGCCAUCCUUUAAGCUUAGGACAAAGAUAUAGCUUGAGAGUCUUUAGGGAUGGAAAGAAUGAUGUUGGUUGUCCCUCAAUCUCCAUGUAUUUUAAAUCAUCUACUCUCGAAAUCUCUAGAUAUUGAAGAGAAGGGAUUUGAUCCAUUGGUGGGAGAUGCUGAUAUCUCUUGCAAUCGCAUAUAGAGAGAUAGACAAGAUUCGUGAGGGAAGAGAACCAACUUGGGAACCUGCUGCCUCCAUAGCCAAGCACACGUAACUCUUUAAGAUUGGGAUGUGGUUGGAGAUUUUGGAAUGCCAUUUCAUCUCUAUCAACAUUUGAAUGUUCCCAACUCUCCUCCCAACGUAAUUCCAAUGAUUGAAGGAAACUUAAUAGUCAACAGUACUCACUGUUCGUGUCAGCUUGCGAUGUGUGUCAAAGGGUGAAGCUAGAGCACCAGAAGCCGGCGGGAAUGCUUAACCCACUGCCGAUUCCAGAGUGGAAAUGGGAGAAUAUCGCUAUGGACUUCAUAGUGGGGUUACCGGCAACGUCCAACAGAUUGGACUCCAUAUGGGUGAUUGUGGACAGACUCACCAAAUCUGCUCACUUCAUCCCUGUCAGGAGUGGCUAUUCUGUGGAUAAGCUGGCGCAGGUGUAUGUGGAUGAGAUUGUCAAGCUGCAUGGGGUUCCUGUUUCUACAGUGUCUGAUAGAGGGCCCCAGUUCACCUCCAGAUUUUGGCGGAGUCUGCAGAGUGCUAUGGGUACCAGAUUGGAUUUCAGUACUGCUUUCCAUCCACAGACUGACGGACAGUCAGAGAGGACCAUCCAGACGAUAGAGGACAUGCUCAGAAUGUGUGUGCUAGAUUUUGGCGGUUCUUAGAGGCAGCAUCUACCCUUGGUGGAGUUUGCCUACAAUAACAGCUAUCAUGCUAGCAUAGGGAUGGCCACAUAUGAAGCUUUGUAUGGGAAGAAGUGCAGAUCUCCUAUCUGCUGGGAAGAAGUGGGAGAAAGGACUCUUGCGGGUCCGGAGUUAGUAGAGCUUACCAGCAGGGUAGUGCCCAUAAUCAGAGAGAGGAUCAAGACUGCUGCUAGCCGGCAGAAGAGUUAUGCAGAUAUCCGCAGAAGACAGCUAGAGUUUCAGGAGGGGGAUUUGGUUUUGCUCAAGGUGUCUCCUAUGAAAGGGGUGGUUCGUUUUGGAAAGAAGGGUAAGUUAGCUCCACGGUAUAUCGGUCCUUUUGAGGUUCUCCAGAGGGUCGGAAAUGUAUCGUACAAGCUGGACUUGAGGUUCUAGAUCACUGUGGUCUGUGGCUCGUAUGCAACCCAAAUUUCUAGUUGACACCUGCAGAGACUCAAAGAAGAUAGAAAACAAAUUAGAGUAAUUCAAAUUUAAGUUGAUUUCUUUUGUUUUUUUAAUUAAUCCUUUGCCUGAGAUCUUUCAUCCGAUUGACUAAGAAUUAUCGGCAAAACCAACGAGAAUGAUAAAAAAGGCCUUCAGUGAGUACUGUUGACUAUUAAGUUUCAGAAAUUGGGAACAUUGUUGCCUUGAUUCACUUGUGUUCUCUCAGAAGAAUUAAAUCCAAGAUGUAAAUUCCCCUUCAGUACUAAGUUAAGAUCUUCCACUUCCAUUCCCUUGUAAGUUAGGAGUUUGACAAUUGAUUUUCCAAAAACACUAUCAAAACCUUUUCUGAAAAAGGAUAUUCCUUCAGAAAUAGAGUUGAGGAAGUCAUCCAGAAUUUCAUUAUUCUUGGCAUUCUUAUUGUAAAAGGAUCGAUAUGCAUCUCUUACAUCUUCUAUAGAAAUAUCCUUUCCAGCCAGUUGCAAAAGAAACACACGAUGAAAGGCAACACCUACUUGCACUUCAUGCAUCAAUGCCAAUGCAAUCACCUUACCAGAAAAUUCAAAACAGUCGUAAUGCAAGGGUUCCAACUUCAAUUCUGCAUAUAUAAUGAAUUAAAAAAUAAUGGAUCGUUACUCUAUAAUUUCUCUUUUCUACUCCUUCCUUCUUAUAUUCUUUAACAUAUAAACAUAUCUAUAUUAGGCAUAUAUCAAUCAUUUCUCAAGAAAAGAGAAAAUCAGGUAAAGUAAUAUAUUAUUAUGGAUGCCACUGACAACAAAUUAAGAUCAAAUUAAAAAGGUAGGAUAGUGCCUGCAAGUUGAUCCAAAUGAGCGUCCAACUGCUUAUGAGCUUUUGGAUCAUCCAUUUGUGAAGGAUAGUGGCUUUUAGCAUCUUUUUUCAAAUUUAGUGAACUCCCUGAAGUUUCUUCUUUAGCCUUAAUUGUGUGAACAUACACCUCUCAUAUUGCUUUCUAAGAGAAAAAGAAAGUCUAGUUAGGUCGUUUAUGAACUUGCAAUGAGUCAAAAUCAUUUUGUAACAUCAUAUUUUAAGUUUGGUACGUGUAUGCUGUGUUUUGAGUUGUAGCUGUUGAUUCUCCUAUGCUGCGUUUGUAAAAGACCGUUAGUCCUCAAUUUUGUUUGUAAUGAGUUUUUUCGUUCUCUCGCCUCAAAUACACGACACAUCGGACUUAACCGCUCAUUUAUCCAAUGUGAAUUAUCUUCAAUUAUAUAUACUGUUUUUGGAUUAAAAUGAUGAAAAGCAGUCAUGAAUCUAUGCAAACGACUGUAUGAUUCAUAUUUAUCCCUCACUUCGACUUGUAGGGUAGCAAUUUUUAUAUAUGGCUCCUGUUCAAUUAAUGCAAAUAUAAAUGAACAAAUAAAAUUUUCAUCCAAUUGGUUAUGGUUUUUUGUCAACUGAGAAUUUGUGCAUGUGUGCAACUCACUGUAUCUCGUAAUUUUCCAUAUAUCCUCCCCUUCUUUUUUGGAUGUUUGAAGCCUCCAUGCACACCCACUUUCUUUGUCUUUACACUUUAUAGAAUAAGUCUUCUCUCUUGUUGCAUGAUAACAAAAUUGAUGAUGAUAUUUUUUUGCAGCCGCAGCCACUGCAUCUCUUGAAAAAAUAUCAUCCAAACUGAAAAUUCUUUAGAAGGAUCCCAAAAGGAACGACCUUCUGGCCUAUCAUAAGGAUCCACUCUCAGCAAAUCGAAGUCUAUUUCUGCGUAUGGGGGAUGAUGAACAACAGACACAAUAGGAUUAGGAAAUUGUGUGUUGUAAUAUCGAGACUCACUCCCACUAUCUUCCUGACCAUUAUCAUCCUCAUCAUCCUCAGAAGACAUCCAUGAAUCAUCGUCAUCGUCAUCCUCGUUGUCAUUCUCUACUGCAUCAGAUAAAUUAAUUGAUGGCCCUGUAAGACUUUUAGAUAAACCAUAAUCAUCAACUACAUUUUGCUCUUCACAUGAAUCAUCAUUUGAUUCCACAGCAGUUUCAGAUUGACCAAUAUCAGCAUCCUCAUUUGUAGUAUCAACACAACGAAGUAUCUUAACAUAUAUUUCUAUACCAAGUAUACCACCAAUUUGAUACAAGUAAUUAAACAUACUAGAUACAUCAUCUUCACCCCAUAUCUCCAUACAUUAAAUUUUAAGGAUCCAUCCACAAUUGUAGACUUUCUAAAACUAAUUGUCUAUAAAUUCAUUAUUCUCGGAUAAUCCAAUUGCACAAGCAAUUUUACCGACCAAUUGAUUAAAACUUAUCUGUAUACCCAUUGGAAUAAUCUUUGAAAAACCUCCAUCAUAAUCGUAACCAUUACAACUAUUUAUAAUAUUAUCAUCCCAAUGAAUAUUAGUAUAUACAGGAACUGUCAUUUCUCUGAUAAAAAAAAAUAGAAUAAUAAAUAAUUUGAUCUCAAUUUACUAUAUACAUAAAAAAAAUAAAAAUUUAGAAUAUAAAAUAUUUAAAACUUACCUGCGUUUCUCUUUUUGUAGUCGAAUCGAUAAGAGUAGAUAUAAUAAUUUUGUGAAAUUUGUAGAGGAGAAUAAAUAGUUUAUAGAACGCAAUUUGUUGAGAUAUAAUGCAGAUUUUGAGUAAUUUAUAGAGUAGUGGGUGAGAUAAUUUAUAGAGAGAUCGGAAAGGGGCGAGCUAAAGUGAUUUAUAGAGUGGUGAGUGGGAUCAUUUAUAGAGAGGUGUGGGAGUAGUAGCCGUUGGCUAGUUCGGCAGUGAUGGUGCCGAACUAGCCGUUGCCGAACUUAUUGCUCCGUACAUGUAGACAAAGAAGCCACGGACUGCACAGGAGGAAUUAAUUGUACAAGAAUUUGUUCCACACCAUCACUGCCGAACAAAUUUCUGUGCAAUGAACCUGCAUGCAUGCACGGUCCUGCAGGUUCAGCUCUUCGGCACUAUAAGUGCCGAAGAGUUUUCUUCUUGUGCGUGUUCGGCACCUUGUGUGCCGAACACGUCAUGCUGGCAGCCACGGGAGCAGAUUACACUGCUCCGUGGCACGGAUCAGCUUGUUCGACACCAUGAGUGUCGAACAAGCUGAAAAACAUCAUGUUCGAUACCUAUAGUGUCGAAUAAUAGGAAGUUUGUACAGCCAUAUCUUUUAGUGUACCAUAGACACAAAGUGAGCAAUUUGAACAAUUUUAGAAUUUCAAUUCAAAUGUGUAUAUAUUUUCUUGUUUUAUUUCUUCCAAAAAUCUGCAAAUGAUGUUUUAUUGUUCUUUUUCUAAACAAAUCAUGUGACCAUAUUGUAAUAAUUUUGUUCAUUUAAUUUGUACAACACAGAAACAAUCUUUUACAAACACAGCACAGAAGAAUGAAGCACAACAUACACCAACCUUAAAACAUGAUGUUACAAAAUGAGCGAUUCACUGCAAGUUCAUGAAUAAAUCUGCUACCUUUUUUUUUUUUUUUCUGAAGGAAGUAAACGUGAACAAAAGCUCAUAAAACAUUGAACAUUUGUUCACACCAUUCAAGCUGAAAAGAAAUUUGAGAAAUGCUAACAGCCAGAAUCCUUCACAAACAGAUGAUUCAAAAGCUGAGAAGCAGUAGGACGCUUUUUUGGAUCAACUUGCAGGCACUUCAUGAUAAAAUCUCGCGCAUUCUCUGACAGAGAAUAAUUAGGAAGAUGAUUUCGAAGUGUCCCUUUUUCAACCUCCAAUUCUAGAUUUGCAUCCCAAUCAUUCACAUGAGAGUAUGGAUAAUUCCCAGUUAACAUCUCCAAGACAGUGCAGCCAAGGCUCCAAAUAUCAGCUUCAACUCCAUACUCUUUGUCCUUUUUCAUAACCUCUGGAGCUAUCCAGUCUAUUGUCCCAUGGCGAGACUUCAAAAGAGGAACUAAUUCUGUCACUUUUGCCAAUCCAAAAUCUGUAAUUUUCACGCAUCCUUUCUCAUCCACUAAUAUAUUUGCACAUUUGAUGUCUCUGUGAACUACCUUUCGCUCAUGGAGAUACUUCAAACCUUCUAGUAUCUGGUUGGUGUAGUAGGAGACUUGGGAGUCUUUCAAUUUAAAACUUUUAUAUACUUGUCGGAGGGAACCUGUGCUUACAAGCUCAAGAAAAAUAUAGACCCCUGACUUAUCCUCCUCAGUACCAUAGUAUUUGACUAUAUUUGGAUGACGUAAUUGACACAAUAAAUUAACUUCUUGCUGAAUUCUGUCAAUUUCUUGCUUAAUUUUGUCUUUGAUUCGUAUUUUCUUUACCGCGAAAAAGAAACCACCAUCUGCAUAUCCCUUGUACACGUUUCCAGAAAUCCCUCCUCCCAGAGUCUUCUUACGGUCCAUUCGCCACUCUGACUUGUUAAUAUUAAGUCCUUGUCUAUUAAUCUGCAAGUUAUUCAAUAUAUUUUCAACAUUAAAAAUUAAUAGAAUUGCAGUAGUACUCCUGGUUAUGCUAAUAAAUCUCACAAGAUUUCUUCUAAAAUAUUUGCAAUACCUGCAGUAAAAUCGUGAAAUUGCUAAAAGGUCAUAGAAAAAAAGUCCAGGAACCUACAUGAUUGCUUUAGAAAGACGACAAAACAAGCAAUUUAUUAACAAAGAAGAUUUCAGCAACUCAUGUAUUGUAUUUGAAAUUAGUCUUCGUAGCUGGAUAAGUACUGAAAACAUAUAGGAAACAACAGUUAUGUUAUGAUAACACUGAAAUUUUUGUAAGCGCGUACCUUCAGGAACUGAGACAUCAGAGGAUCACUCGCAUGUGUUAUCUCUCCAGAAAUAAAUUCAAGAUUUAAUUUUCCCUUUAGCACCAGGUUAAGAUCUUCAAGUUCUAUGCCCUUGAAAGAUAGCAGUUGGACGAUUGAUUUUCCAAAAACACUAUCAAAGCCUUUUCUGAAAAAGGAUAUUUGUUCAGAGAUAGAGUUGACUAAGUCAUUCCGAAUUUGAUCAUCAUCAAGAAAACAUUCCUUGGCCUUCUUAUUGUAAAAAGAAGGAUAUGCAUCUUUUACAUCUCCUAUAGAAAUAUCCUUUUCCGCCAGUUGAAAAAGAAACAUACGGUGAAAGGCAACACCUAUUUGUAGUUCAUGCAUCACUGCCAAUGCAAUCACCUUGCCAGAAAAUUCAAAACAGUCGAAGUGCAAUGGUUCCAGCUUCAGUUCUGCAUAUAUAACAUAUGACCAAAAACGGAAAAAGAAAAACUAUACUUAAAACGGGAUAUUAAUAAAUUUAAGAUAAAAAGGAUUUUUAUGGCAUAUUUCUCGUAUUAAAUGUAUUUUUAUUGGUUUACAUUAUGAUUAAAUUUAAAAAAUUUGCAGUUUUUUUUAAUAUGGAAAAAAUGUAAAAUCUAGAAAAAAAAAUAAUCGGAAUUAGUAGUCUUAGAAUCUAUUUGUACAAAAAUAAAAGAUAGAUUUAAUUUUUCGAGUGAUCUGAUCAUGCGGGGUAGUACAAGAAUAUUCACCUGUUGUCCAUCGACUACGCCCUUCAGCCUGAUCUUAGGCCUUGACUCACUUUUCGUGGACGAACCUUGCGGAGGAACCCUUAUAUCACAUGUUUCGUGAAUUUACAUAUAAUUUAGGUAAAAGUCAGAGAUGACAACUUAUUAGUAAAACUUUUUAUUGUACAUAUUAAUAAAUAUAAAUAAUCUUUUUAUUAUGCAUUUUGCGUCGAAUGUGUACGGUCAAUUUAUGCCAUCAUCUAUUAACUAUCUGUCAUACCCUAAAUACUUUCAUAUCUUAUUGUUUUAAUACCUAAUCGUAUUGUCUCACAUGUACAUAGCUAGCCGAAAGGAAUGAGAAGAAAAACUUAAAAAUCUUAUGCCAAGUCCAAUAUUGUAUGCUACAUGUCGUAAAUUAAUUAUAUGAUGAAGUUGUGACAUAAGGGUUAUAUCAAUCAUUUAUCAAGGGGAAAAAAAAAAUAGGAGAAGCAAUAAUUACGGAUGCUAUUCAUAGGAUCUUACCAGGAUUAGGGUAGAACUUCGUAGGAUCAUUUGGGCACGCCAAGAAAAGCAGAUUUUGCGGUUUGAAUAUAACUUGGCAUAACUUGUAUAACCAAUCCUGCAACUUUUUAGGACUGGUGAGCUUCUUAUUUUUCAAUGCUUCAAACAUCUCUUCGUCCAGAAAUCUAGACCAGUGAAUGAGUGGCUUGUAGAACUCUGCAUCAAGUAAUUUUUCCUCGGGGAUCAUCAUCAUGGUGACUAAGUGCAUCCUGGAUUCAGAAUCAAUCACAUCAUUGUGCUCAAGCAGCCAGUGAUAAUCAUCUUCUCUAGUAGUUGUUUCAAGUAUCAGUCGUAAUGAACUCUGCUGCCUCUUCAAUAAAAGCCGAAACUGCUCCCUUUCACUCUCCCAUAGUUGAGAAAUGCUAUUCAAUUCUUUCAAAAUGUCCAGAUAUAAAUGCGAAACAGAACACAAACAACCACUUGUUUCGAAUAGUUCUGCUGUUAAUAGUAAACCAUGAAGAUGACCCUCCAUGUCUGUAGACAGGUGAUUGAAUGCUUCUUUAGUUGGGACUGAAAACCAUGUCAAUGUUUCUUCAUCGUCACCGUCUAUAUAGCCAAUUGCAUUGCGCACUACACAUGAAAAUGCCUGAAAUUCACCAAAAAGAAAUUUCAAUGAAUCAAUGUGUGAACUUGGAUUUGAUACGCGGAUCUGAACCAAACCCUUGCAUAAUGUGCUUGUCAUCUCAUAAAGGAAAGAACAAAUUGUCAGCACUGUUUCUGGCUCCUCAAAGAGUUUGAUCUUAAAUCUACUUCUUUCCACCAACUGUUUGAGAGAAGUCCGACAUGACUGAUACAGAGGAUCUUCAUUAGUUACUUGAUGUCGAAGUAAUUUACAGAAUUCUAAAGCCAAUAGUCUACAUUCUGGAAGAAAAUCAUCUGGACGAUUCAAUAAAUAAUGCAUGGAAGACAAUAUCAAAGCUCUAGCAUAGGCUUUCUGUUGUUUAAUUCUUGACCUGUAAAACAUAACCAAAGUCGCAGGGACAGAAUACGCAAUCAGAAGAAGCUCUGAUUGCUCGUUUCUUUCAGGUGCCAACAGUGCAAACAUCUUAUGCGCUAGUGGACAGUAAUCUAUCCGCGAGACAGAUUUCUCUCGGUACAUUCGACAAAUGGUCGAACUGAUUUGGUGGAUCAUUUGAAAAAGUUCCGAUUCGCCGUCGAGUUCAACCACCAAUUUGAGCCAAGCUUUGUUUUGAAUUGAGCAGUCUUCAAGCGUCUUAUUCCACUCUAGCUUCUCACCUUUGUAAUAUAAUUUCUGUUGCGUAACUGGAAUUUUGGAGAUCACCAGGAUUUUCUGCUGGAUAAAUUGUACUUCAAAAUUGGAUUUCACAAGAAUUUUUAUAGGUUUACGUUUCGGCAUUCUGACAAAUAAAUGAAAGGAAUUGGAUUCACUAUUCGCCAUCAGCUCUAGAUCACUGUGGUCUGUGGCUCGUAUGCAACCCAAAUUUCUAGUUGACACCUGCAGAGACUCAAAGAAGAUAGAAAACAAAUUAGAGUAAUUCAAAUUUAAGUUGAUUUCUUUUGUUUUUUUAAUUAAUCCUUUGCCUGAGAUCUUUCAUCCGAUUGACUAAGAAUUAUCGGCAAAACCAACGAGAAUGAUAAAAAAGGCCUUCAGUGAGUACUGUUGACUAUUAACUCUUCAGUGAGUACUGUUGACUAUUAAGUUUCCAACAUCCUUUGAGGAAAUAUGCCCUUUUGCCACUACGAACAGUGACAACGUCUGAAGUGAACUCAACUGCCCAAGCCCACGUGGCAUAUGAGUCAAAGAGAAACAACCUUGACAAUACAAAUGCCUAAGAUUCACAAGCUUUUUAAUAUCUUUAGGCAAUUCUUUGAGGUUGUAACAAGAAGAGACAUUUAAUACUUGUAAAUUCAGCAAAUCCGUAAUAGAAUUUGGAAGUGCUAUAAGACUCUCUAUAUUAGAAACAUUAAGAUAUCUUAAAUAUUUUAGCAUUUUUAUAGAGCUAUCCAUCAUAUUUAUUCCACAUGAAUACAUCCUAAAUACACGCAAAAAUUUUAAAUUAUGCAAAAAUUUUAAAUUUUUAUGAAUAAAUAGCCAAUCAUGAUCAUGUUUCCUAAGCAGACCAUGAUCAUGUUUCCUAUUCAGAAAUAACGAUCGUAUUCUUUUUGCGUUAUUAAGAAUUUCUUGUGGUGCAACAUCAAAAUUCAACGCUACAUGAUGGGUUUUCUCAUCAAUAUUUGGUGCAUCAGAAUUUAUCAGCUGAAUUCUCUUUCCACCCACUGUGGUUGCGAGAUCGUGCAUUAAAUCAUGCAUUUUACAGCUUUCAACAUUUCCACAUCUAUCUCUUUCCACCUCUUGAAAAAAUGACCUCCACCACAGUUUCAUAAAAUAUUCAAGCCCAAUAUCUUCAAGACAAUCACUCGUACUUGGUGACUCAAUAAACCCUUGUGCAAUCCAAAGAUGGAUUAAUAUUUUCACAUUAAUCACAGAAUCUUUUAGAUAUAUUGCGCAAUAUGCAAAACAAUGCUUCAAAUGUGAUGGGAGAUGAUCAUAACUUAGCUUCAGUGUUGGCAUAAUAUCAUUACCAUCUUGACUUAUUCUUGAGAGUUCUUUUGUUAAAAAGGGCAGCCACUCAGUUUGUGGAUUUUUCGCAUACAAGAGACUUGCAAUAGUUUUUAUUGCAAGAGGAACUCCACGACAUUUCUUCAAAAUCUCCUUUCCCAUCUCUCUUACAUUUGCAUGUUUUGGCUCCUGCCCCUCAAGUGCUACAUGCAAAAACAAAGACCAAGACUCAUCCGGAGACAACCCUUCCAAAACAUGUGGUGCCAUUGUGCUAGACAUAUCUGCCACCUUUUUAGAGCGAGUGGUUAUUAAUAUCUUACUUCCACUAGAGCCACCCACUAAUAAUCUCUUUAAAUUCUCCCAUUUUUCUCUAUUCUCAUUCCACACAUCAUCUAGAACAAGCAGAUAUUUCUUCCCACUAAUAAUUUUUUCCAGUCUAGACUUCAAUGCUUCUAACCCAAGAUCUUCCGAUCUAUUCCCUGUUGCAGACUCUAGAAUCUUUCCAACAGUCAUUUUCACAUCAAAAGGUUCUGAAACACACACCCAUAUUCUUGGCUCAAAUGAAUUCUUAAUCAAUUCAUCAUUGAAUAUGAUUUGAGCAAGAGUGGUCUUCCCUAAUCCUCCAAUUCCAACAAUUGAGAGGACUGAAACACACUCUUCACCAUUGGAAGACAAUACAAGUUCUGUAAUUGCCUUUUUGUCACCCUCUCUCCCAAUAAUCACUUCAGGUAAAGAGGACGUAGUUUGAUCCCUCCAUACAAUACUCUCCUGAUCAGUACGAACCUCUAAAUUAAAUUUUCUGUCAGCUUCAAUAUCAGCUAGCCUCUCCCUAAUCGCCUUAACUUUAUGACCCAUUUUAAAACCAUAAACAAGUUGAUUUGAAGACGAAAAGAAGAGACUUACCUCCUUUGUCAUUCUAUUUCCAGUCAUCACUCGGCGCCUUAGAGCUUCUGUGGCGAAGUCAUCUACCAAGUCAUCAGCAUCAUAAACAACUUCUUCUAGCCUCUCAAGCCAGCCUUUCACUUGACGGUUAAGUUUCUGCUGCUCCUCAGCAUCCAGAAGAACGUUGCGAAUACUAGAAACUGUGGCCUCAAGUUUCUUAAGCUCACCUUUGACGCCCCACCACAAUCCGAUCUCAUGAAGGGCUCGAGAACCCAGCUUGGUAAUGAUAUCUCUGACAACGUUAGAGAGAACUCCGUCGGCCAUUUUGGGUGUUUUGGUUUGGUUGUAAAAGGAUGAAAUGUUGCUGUGAAGAAGAAGAUACCGACAACAAAUGACUAAUUUAAAGAAAAAAAGAAGCGGAGGAAAAAGCAUCUUCUAAAUGAUUAUGUUCGGUCGGUCAGCUUUUUGGAGGGCCCCGGUUUGCUUUAAUUUAAAAAGUAAAAUAUAUUAACAAAUUUAUAUAUAGAAUGAAAGUAAGUUAUUUUUUUAAAAGUAAUUUUAUUUAUUUAUUAAAAAAUAUUUUUAAUUAAUUAAAUUUUAUGAGCGACUCAAACGUUAAAAAAUAUAUAAUAUAUUUUUAAUAUUGCUGAGUUUAGAUUAAUAUCGUAGUUAAAAUAAAAAUUAUGCUGUGAUUGAUAUAGAAGUUUUCUGGGUCAAGUGUCAACUCUCAGUCCUUAAACUCUGCAGCAUCUGUUUCUACUUAGUUUUCUAGAUGUGCUAUAAUUAAUCUAGCUUUCUAUGACGUGUUUGGUUCCGUGUUUUCCUUCCAUUAUGUUUCAUUGCAAACUUCUUGGUGGGUAUUCUAGUCAAAAUUAUCCUUGCUUCUCCUUCUCCAUGCAUGAUUUACUUCUCCAUGCAUGAUUUAAUUAUAUGUAAUUAUAUCAAGUAAUAUUUUUAAGUUUAUAAUAAAUUUUUUAUUUUAAAAUUAAAAAUAGUAUAUAUUAGCUCCAUGCAUGAUUUAAUUAUAUGUAAUUAUAUCAAGUAAUAUUUUUAAGUUUAUAAUAAAUUUUUUAUUUUAAAAUUAAAAAUAGUAUAUAUUAGUUAGAUUUAUGAUUCUCCUUUAUUAUUAUUAUUUUUUAUUUUAUAAUAAUAAAUUACAUAUUUAAUUAAUAAUUUUUUAUAUUAUUUUGAAUCAUAGAAAAUAAAAUAUUAUGAUAGAUUAUCAAUUAAUAAUUUAAAAUUUAAAAUUUAAAAUCUAAAAAUAAAAAUAUAUAUUAAUAAGUUUAUAUUAUUCUAUAUAACCGUAAUAUAAAAUAUUUUAAUACUCCCACAGUGUGCAGCUAAACCGCUGGUUAAAAAGUAUUUUUGAAUCCUUCCUCUGUCUUAAUCUCAGUCUUCUGGCAACGACAAAGCAGCAGCUUCCUACCAAUUCCUUCAAACCCAAAUCCUUCAAAUGCGGGUCUUAUUAAUUCAGCUCUUUAGCCUCUGUUUUUGCAGUGUCGUCAUCUGGGUUUCUACCGCCUCCAAAUCCAGCUUUUCUACCUUCUGGGUCUGCCGGUAUUUUGCUUGAAUCGGCUUUUUGCUUCCGAGGUAUUGGUGGCAGCUUCGUCAUAGUAGCUAGUGGUUCCGCUUUUUAUUUUAUUUUAUUUUGGAUAUCUUUUUGUAGACCAUAUUGUGAUCUUAUGUGAGAAUGUUAAAUAAUUUACCAGUAGCUAUCCAAAUUUUAAGCAGGGGACUGUGACUUGCUGUAAAUUACCUAGCCUUCAGCAUAUUUUUCAAAAAAAAAAAAAAAUCUUUAGCUUCUACAUUUGCAAAUUCCUUGCUUUUCCAUCUUUUUGCUUGCAAAGAUCACACCUUUGUUAGAACUAAUUCAAAGAAAAAAUGAGUGGAGAAGGAAAGGUGGUCUGUGUCACAGGAGGGUCUGGUUACCUAGCAUCCUGGCUAAUCAAAUUCUUGCUUCAAAGAGCCUACACUGUCAAAGCCACUGUUCGUAACCCAAGUAAAUCCCUCCCUAUCUGUCUCUUUGUUGCCUACAAGCUCAGUUGGGUCAUUGAUGAACCUUAAUUUUUUUGAAUGAGCUUCAGCUUUUUAUUUCUGGGUUCUGGGUUUGUUUUUAUACCGACUUUUGUUGUGACUGGGGAUCUAAUCUUUAUGUUUUACUUAUUGUUUUGACUUCAUUUUAUUCAAUUUCAUGGGGUAUUUACUAGCUUAUAGCAUUUUUUGAUGUGGUGUUGUUGAUUACUGAUAAUUUUAUAUCCUGCAAUUUGCUUGUUAAGAAUGAAUUGAAUCAGCCCUCACUUCGAUUGAGUAGCUAAAUGACUUAACUUUUUUCGUCUAUCAUUAUUUUGAACACAAACCAAGGACGAGGGAAAGAAAGCAAGGUUGAUAAUGUACUAGCAUUUGAGUAAAAUUUUACUAAACUGAUGUGAAAUCUUAAAUUAGUUUUCUUGAUUUAGUGUUUCUUUAACUUCCACUGUUCUCAUUGGACUCAUGCUUUCAGCUCUUUGAAUCUGUAUUCUGUACCCAGAUGAUCUGAAGAAAACUGCAUACUUGCUUGCACUUGAGGGAGCAAAGGAAAGGCUUCAAUUGCUCAAAGCUGAUUUAUUAGAAGGAGGAUCUUUUGAUGCUGCAGUUGAUGGGUGUGAAGCUGUUUUCCACACAGCUUCCCCUGUAUCUCUUCAAGCCAAUGCGGAUCCUCAGGUCCAUCAUCUUUGACAACCUUUUCACUGCCUUUAUAUGUCGAUAGAGUUCCUCUGUUUAGCACCUAAACUGCAAUUUCUGAUUGUUCUGUUGUCAUUUGGCAUUACAUUUUCUCGUAUGUCUCUAUAAUAGCUCGUGCACUAUCUGUGUCAUUUGAUUAUGUUGACAUAACUACUGCUUGAUAGGUUUAGUGUCAUAUAAGAUGUAACUGUUCGUUGUUGGCUAUUUCGAUGGUUCAGGUAGAACUAGUUGAUCCUGCAGUGAAGGGAACACUUAAUGUUCUUAGAUCUUAUGCAAAAGUUCCUUCUAUCAAGAAAGUGAUUAUAACAUCUUCAUUUGCUUCUCUUCCAUAUAAUGGAAAAAAUUCUGGCCCCUGAUGUAGUUGUUGAUGAGACUUGGUUUUCUGAUCCAGCUGUUUGUGCGGAACGGAAGGUUUGUCUUCUAUUAUAAUGCUACUCAUUAUCUUAUGACCCUGAAAUUAGUUGCUUAACCCUCCGUUUGGAAUCAAGAAUUUGGCAAGAACAAUUUAAUUGAUUUCUUUUCUAACAAUUCUUUGGUUUAGAAUGAGUAAAUUCAAUUUUUUUAACUUGAAAAAUUGUCAUUUUAAAAGAAGUAUAAUUCUUGCGUGAUUUUGCAAGAAUUCUUUGAAAUUCUCUUCUUGCAAAAUGAACCAUGCCAAGCAAGGGAUAAAAGGAGAUGAAAAUGUAGAAUAAUAAUAUUUGUUGUUGUAUUUCAUAAUAAAAAUUACAAUCUAUUUAUAUAUAAAAGAUAAUAUCUAAACAGGAAAGGAAAUCAAGUCUAUGAUUGUAGAAUCCUAAGAUUAAGCAACUAACCCAUCUAUCAAUAUUUAAUUGCUAUAUUAAUAUAUUUACUUCCUAUAAUCUAUAACACUCCCCCUCAAGUUAGAAUGUAAAUGUUAAUCAUGUCCAACUUGUUACAUAUAUAAUCAACUCGUCCCAUACAACUUAGUAGACAUCGAAUUUGUGAACCCAACUUUUUCCAAUAGUCGACGUACCUAUAAAACUUCACAAACAGUUUUUGCCAUUACUCGACAUUCAGGUUCAGCACUAGAAUGGGAGAUUACAUUUUCUCAGCUUGGUAAAACACUUUACACACAUCAUAAAUACGAGAAAUAUUCCCUUUGCCAGAAUAUAGAAAUUCCAAAUAUUCCAUUAAUUAUUUAACAAAUUCAGAGUGAUUAAUAAGACUAAUCACUCAACUGUGAAUAGAAUUUUGAAUCUGUGAAUAGUAUUCGUGAACAAUAUCCGAUGAACAGUACUCGUGAACAGUACCGAUAAAUAAUUCCCGUGAACAGUGCCCGAUGAACAGAGUCCUAAAUCUCCAAAUGUUACCCUUUAUGAGUAACUCGAUGAAUAAUUCCCGUGAACAGUACCGAUGAAUAGAGCCCUAAGUCUCCGAAUGUUACCCUUUAUGGAUAACCCAAAUGAACAGAGUCCUAAAUCUCUAAAUAUUACCCUUUAUGAGUAACCCAAAUGAACAAAACCCUAAAUCUCUAAAUGUUACCCUUUAUGAAUAACCCAAAUGAAUAUAGCUCUAAGUCUCCAAACGUUACUCUGUAUGAGUAACCCAAGUGAACAGAACCCUAAAUCUCUAAACGUUACCCUUUAUGAGUAAUUCAAAUGAAUAGAGCCCUAAGUCUCCAAAUGUUACCCUUAUGAGUAACCUAAAUAAACAGAACCCUAAGUUUCUAAACGUUACCCUUUAUGAGUAACCCAAAUGAACAGAGCCCUAAGUUUCCAAAUGUUACCCUCUUAUGGUUAACCCAAAUAAACAGAGUCCUAAGUCUCUAAAAGUUACUCUUUAUGGUAACCCAAAUGAAUAGUAUCAAAAAGACACCUCCACCCAACACCCAAACGGUAAACGAACCACAAAUCUGACAAGAGAGCUGCAAGACGACUUUGGCAUCCUCUUUAGGUGAACGGUGAGAGACAAAUAUUAUCCUAAAUGGAUAACACAAAAAAACAGGAGUCCUGAAUCUCUAAAAAUUUAAAACUUGACGAGAGAGAAAAAAUAUAAUUCUCUACAAACAUGGCUCUGAUACCAUGUAGAAACAUAAUAUUUAUUGUUGUAUUUCAUAAUAAAAAUUACAACCUAUUUAUAUAUAAAAGAUGGUAUCUAAACAGGAAGGAAAAUCAAGUAUAUGAUUAUAGAACCCCUAAGAUUAAGCAACUAACCCAUCUAUCAAUAUUUACUUGCUAUAUUAAUAUAUUUACUUCCUAUAAUCUAUAACAGAAAAAAAGGAUAAAUGACCAUCAUGGUUUGUCCUUGAGCACAUCAAUCUUGAUUACUUCUAAUUUAGCCAUCCCCAUUGGAUGCUUGUGAUGAUACAAUGAAAUUUAUCAACUUGAUUUUAUAUCUUAAACUGUUUUGUUUAUGAGAUAAUUUGGUCUUUUGUUUCUCCAGCUUUGGUAUCAACUUGGGAAAACGUUAGCUCAGCAGGCUGCUUGGGAGUUUGCAAAAAACAACAGGAUGAAUUUGGUUACAAUACAUCCGGUGUUUGUCCUUGGUCCUCUUUUGCAGCCAACUAUUAAUAACUCUAUCGAGAUACUUUCCAACCUCAUAAANNNNNNNNNNNNNNNNNNNNNNNNNNNNNNNNNNNNNNNNNNNNNNNNNNNNNNNNNNNNNNNNNNNNNNNNNNNNNNNNNNNNNNNNNNNNNNNNNNNNNNNNNNNNNNNNNNNNNNNNNNNNNNNNNNNNNNNNNNNNNNNNNNNNNNNNNNNNNNNNNNNNNNNNNNNNNNNNNNNNNNNNNNNNNNNNNNNNNNNNNNNNNNNNNNNNNNNNNNNNNNNNNNNNNNNNNNNNNNNNNNNNNNNNNNNNNNNNNNNNNNNNNNNNNNNNNNNNNNNNNNNNNNNNNNNNNNNNNNNNNNNNNNNNNNNNNNNNNNNNNNNNNNNNNNNNNNNNNNNNNNNNNNNNNNNNNNNNNNNNNNNNNNNNNNNNNNNNNNNNNNNNNNNNNNNNNNNNNNNNNNNNNNNNNNNNNNNNNNNNNNNNNNNNNNNNNNNNNNNNNNNNNNNNNNNNNNNNNNNNNNNNNNNNNNNNNNNNNNNNNNNNNNNNNNNNNNNNNNNNNNNNNNNNNNNNNNNNNNNNNNNNNNNNNNNNNNNNNNNNNNNNNNNNNNNNNNNNNNNNNNNNNNNNNNNNNNNNNNNNNNNNNNNNNNNNNNNNNNNNNNNNNNNNNNNNNNNNNNNNNNNNNNNNNNNNNNNNNNNNNNNNNNNNNNNNNNNNNNNNNNNNNNNNNNNNNNNNNNNNNNNNNNNNNNNNNNNNNNNNNNNNNNNNNNNNNNNNNNNNNNNNNNNNNNNNNNNNNNNNNNNNNNNNNNNNNNNNNNNNNNNNNNNNNNNNNNNNNNNNNNNNNNNNNNNNNNNNNNNNNNNNNNNNNNNNNNNNNNNNNNNNNNNNNNNNNNNNNNNNNNNNNNNNNNNNNNNNNNNNNNNNNNNNNNNNNNNNNNNNNNNNNNNNNNNNNNNNNNNNNNNNNNNNNNNNNNNNNNNNNNNNNNNNNNNNNNNNNNNNNNNNNNNNNNNNNNNNNNNNNNNNNNNNNNNNNNNNNNNNNNNNNNNNNNNNNNNNNNNNNNNNNNNNNNNNNNNNNNNNNNNNNNNNNNNNNNNNNNNNNNNNNNNNNNNNNNNNNNNNNNNNNNNNNNNNNNNNNNNNNNNNNNNNNNNNNNNNNNNNNNNNNNNNNNNNNNNNNNNNNNNNNNNNNNNNNNNNNNNNNNNNNNNNNNNNNNNNNNNNNNNNNNNNNNNNNNNNNNNNNNNNNNNNNNNNNNNNNNNNNNNNNNNNNNNNNNNNNNNNNNNNNNNNNNNNNNNNNNNNNNNNNNNNNNNNNNNNNNNNNNNNNNNNNNNNNNNNNNNNNNNNNNNNNNNNNNNNNNNNNUAUCACGAAUAUCAUGUAUUUAUAUGAUUAGAAUGCUUUGCAUUAGAAUUCACGAAUAUGAUGCAUUGUAUAAUUUAUUAUUGUUGUUGAUAAAUGUUGGAUGACCUACUAGCUCUCGAGUAUGUUACGACGGAUAUGAAAAGACUAGAGCUUGCCUAUUCUACGCUCUUGGCACUGUAUAAGAGAAAGACCAGGGUUGCCCAUUCUACGCUCUUGGCACUAUGGAUGUAUUAUCUUAUGUUUAAGAGGAAGUUCUGAAGAGCACUCGUUGUGAGCCAGUCACUAUUGGAAUCUAUAGAGGAUCACUGGUGACAAGUCCAUCUUGAUAUAAAUUGUUUGUAUUGUGACGCAUUUAUAUGAUCAUAUGUCUUAUUAAACUGCUCUUUAUGUUUUUGCUCACUAGACUUUUGUAGUUUAUCCUUUUUCCUUAACUCCAGAUUUGCAAGAUCAGAGUUAGCUCAGGAGGUGGGCCGAGUUAUUGGUAUAGGCCAAUGUAAUAGCAUAGCAAUGGACAUGUAUUAAUUUGCAGAUUUAAAUUGUGUUUUGCCUGAGUUUUCUUUAUAAUCCUUACUUUAUAAUUUUUUUAUGUAAAAAUUUUUAAGUAUAAGUUAUGUUUGAACUAAGCUUGAGGCAUGUAAUGUUGAUCAUACUGAAGCAUUUGAUGAGGAUUCUAGUAUGAAUUUAUGUUUACAGUUAUGAUACAUGUGUAGGUCAAGUUUUGGUUAUUGAAACAGAAGUGUUUUUAUAUGCUAUGCUUGUGUGAUUAUGUAUGGAAUUAUAUCAGGUGUAACAAGAUGUCUAGUAGGUUUGCUAUGAGUUUCGGCGAUCUUAAGUUGAUUUAAACUCUAGCGCCGAUAGUGGUCCAGUUUCCAGAUCGUUACAGAAAUUUUUGGAUAGCAGGAGCUCAAGAGUAUCCUGAUGCAUACUAUAGAUCCAUCGAUGUAAGAGAUGUUGCGUAUGCACACAUUCAAGCUUUGGAGAUUCCUUCAGCUAGUGGCAGAUAUUGUUUAAUUGAAAGAGAUGUCCACUUCUCUAAGGUUCUGAAGAUUGUGCAGCAACAUUAUCCUACAUUGCACCUUCCAAAAAAGUAUGGUUUUUGUAUAUUUUUGCAUGCUCAUGUUGGACCAGCUAUAUGAAUGGCUAAGAUCUAUAAUAUUUUGGAUAACUGAGAAAUAGUUGUUUUGAAUGAUUAAUUUGAUCAUGGAAUAUCAUCUGAGUUGCAGAUGUGGAUCCGGAUUGAAUUACUUAACAAAGUAUGGGGUAUCAAAGGAAAAGUAAAAACUUUGGGUAUUGACUUCAUUCCUUUGGAGGUUAGUUUGAAGGACACUAUUGAAAGCUUGAAGGAGAAGAGCUUCCUCAGUAUUUGAUUUUGGCUGUCGGAUAAAAAGCAAUGCAAAUAUUACAUUGGCCUUUCAGGUUCAUUGGCUUUAGCUUCCUAUUGGUGCAAGAUAUUAUUGCCCUUCAGGAUUGUCUUUAUUUGAAAAAAGUGGACCAAUACAAUUUGUAAAAUUUAUAACAAUUUGUAUACAACUAUAUAUAAACAUAUUACAUGCGUCACUUGUUUCACUGGUAGAUGAAGUUCAUUUCAGGUCUGAUUUCUGAGGAAGUUGCUCUUUUUUUUAUCUGAUUUCAUGUCUCAUUCCAAAGAAGACACAAGAAAAAAAAAAGUGUAAUCCACCAAUUCAGAUUUAUUUCAGUCUUUUCAAAGUAUAUUCAGAUUUCAUAGCCAAUUCAUUUAAUGCUGUAUCUGAUUUCUGGUUCUUGUGAUACGCUCUUACAAAAUUCAUCUAAAAUUCAGUGCUCUUACACAUUCUGGAAACACAAUUUAUACAAAAACUGAUUUCGCAGGGAAAAAAGGGAAAAUAAUGUUAUUUGCAUUGAAUGAGCAAAUGAUUAGCAUAGUAGCAAAACUACUUAAAAUAAGAGAAAUUAGAAACAAAAAAGCAGCACAGCAUGAGUCGGGGCAUUGCAUGUUGGAUGAUCGAAACAGAGGUCUUGAGCGAGAAUCUGGAUCCUGAAAUACGCAGGCCUGCAAAAAGUCAUUCGAAUAAGUGUGCAAAACUCCCAUCAUUCAGCUUUCAUUUCUACUUCCGCUCAGCAGGAUUACUAUGUACUGAGUUGUUUUCUGAACUGUGAC